GGAAAUACAUGAUUUUGCUAGGUUUUGCCCAUAGGGAAGUAGCAAGAAAUCAUGAAAAAUCAGUCAUUUUUGAUCUAUUUUCGUUAGAUAAGAAAAGUCGAAAAAGUCCUAUUUAGAAGCAAAAAAGCCGGGAAAUAGCAAUGAAAGAAUCAUAAAGGGAUAAGAAAUUCACAUAGUUUGUUCAAACUUCUAGUUUCUGGUCCGGAGAAAUACGGGUCUAUUCUUUAUUUCACUCCAGGUUAUUCAAUCAUAAGGAUUCUUGAAUUCGAGUUAAUGAGCCCGUAGUUAGGAGUAUUAAGACCGGUCCUACGUCCAUUUAUCCUCCGGACUAUCCGUAAUUAACCGAACUUUGCACCUCCGGAUAGGAAAAAAGUGACUAAAAAGGAGCUCAAGUCAACGCAUAUUGAAUUGCACCUCUUCUCUCCCUUUCUUUUUGCUUCGCACCUCUUGCGAGUCGAGUUUCUUCUCACCGCGUAGUGGGGCGGAUCCCACGGAGCGGUUCAAACUGAAAUUGAAAGAUUUGAAUCAAGGGAAUCUGGAUCUGUACCGUCGAUCCUGUUAUGAGAAGAAUGAAAGCAUAUAAUCGUAUCCUCUCGGCAGCUUCUUGAUCUUCCUCUUCUGGGCCUGCUACAUCGUUCCGACCCUUGCUUUGCUUCUUAAUACGGUCGAAGGGUAUUACAAGCGCUCGACCUACUUCAGAGUCUUUUCGAGAAUGGGAGUCAAUAAAUAAUGAAUCCAGUUUCCAGGUUCAAGGCCCCACGUAGGGGGAAGAGAUCUAGCUGAAAGAGCUGCUACAACUAAAGCAAGGACUGCUGGAACAAGAACUGCUACUGCCUCCGAUUCCCCCUACCUAAACUGAGAUUCUUCUUCUUCGAAUUCAACUGAUUUAUCUAACUGCUUCGGAUCCACGGAGUGCAAUAUUGAAGAAUUUAUUAGAAAGAAAGAAGCAUCUCGACUCUUCCAAUCCAUCUUGAUUGUAUAGGUUUCAUGAGAGGGGAAUAACUACGAAUGGGAACUUCCAGUUUUUGAAGUAGGAUCACUAGAGGCAGAUUUUCGGGCGGGGAGGCAGUCCCAGUUGAAUGAUCAGUUUCGGAAGUUGCCCACUCCGCGGUUCAAAGAAUAUUGACAGUCGCUUUAGUUCUUGCAGCAGAAGUAGCUGUCGUAGCUCGUCUUCCUCUUUCAUCAGUGGCUCUUUCUGUAUCGGUUGAAGAACUAUAGAUAGGCCCAGUUUAGCAGAGCUUCACCAUAGGGUCUUUCGUCGGAUUCUGACUAGUGAUGCUGCACUUGUAUUCCCCAUACUCGGAUCGUAGCGGGCAAUCAUCUCUCAGUCGAUAAAGGCUCGACGCACCCAUCUUGUAGUUGCGGUUCUUUCUCUUGGUGAUAAGAGUGAUAAGGCGAAUCAAGUGGCAUUUAACUCUUUCUUUACGCCUUCUUUCUUUCUACUUUCUACCAGUCCUUUUUAGAGUCCUUCGGACGUCCUCAGUCCUAUCCAUUAGAGAAUUUGAGUUGCGGCUAUUCUAAAAAGGUAUAAGGUUGCCUAUAUUUCAUUCCCGAUUGAACAAGGACAGAGCCUUAUGCGGAAGACAUUGGUGGUGGGACAACUGAAAGGGCGGAUGCCUCAACCGCAGAGUGGGAGUCUCACCUUUCUCUUCUUAUGUUGGGAGUUUUUGUCCCAUAAAAAAGAAUAUACCUUUUCAUCAAUCCGUAGUUCAUCCUACUCAUCAUCAUAUACUAUAGAAAAUCAGAGCUUCUAAAGCAGAACGGAUGAGGCAGGAGAGACUGAAACGAGAACAAGAAAAGCCACUUCCUCAACAGAACAAGUGAGAGCCACGGCCUCUGGUCGAACAGCCUCUUAAGUGGGUCGCUCCUUUCUCUCUCGCUUUAUUUAGCUCGACUCAAUUACAUUGAUCCGAUCCUGCUCAAGAAAUAAUCAGAGUGUUGAAGACCGUCCUUCAGCAUAAUCUAAUAGGAUCAAAGUAUUUGAGCUUUGCGCCUAGCCUUCGGACGGAAGAAAAACAAAGGUCUAUAUGAACUACAUCGCAAUAUUCUUUGCACCUCACGCAAUGAUCUUUGCUCCUCCUUCUACGCUCUCCAUGGGCUCGACUGAGAUGGACGGAGGCUAAGACAGGGAUAUUGAUGAUUGAUUGACUGGUCCGAAGGACUAUCCAUCAGGGAGGCUCAAAGCAAGCCCACUACACGGGAAGAAUGGAUAUUGUAGACCGCGGGGGAGGGGUCAAAGAAUUUGAGAAGAAGCGAAGAAAGCCCUCACUGAGCGAAGCCCACGUAGCGGUAUGAAAGAGUAUGAAAUGACUAUGCGAGCGUACAGAUCCCCAUAUUCAUUAGGCGAAGGACUUAUUUAUUGAACUGAAACUGACUGAACUUUCCUUUCACCUCUCCUUCUCUUUCUACACUCGAAGAGCUGAGCUCCAGAUCCAAUGCUGAUGGCAAGGCUUGAGCACUACGAAUGAGCUCUGGCGUCCGGAAACUCACUCAUUCAAAAAAAAAGAUGAGAUCGAUUCAUUGCACUUCCUUCUUGACUUCCGCGUAGUGGGCCCUCCCUCUCCUGAGAAUGAAAGCGAGAGGGUUCGGAUGUAGUCCGAAUCGAGAAAAUACUGAGUUUAGGCCCCUUCUCGAGUGAAGUAUAUUGGGUCCUCCUUUCUUCAACUCCAGGAUCUCAUACCGAUGCCUUCAAUCAAUGGCCCGGCCAGGGGAGUUCAUUAAAGAGUUCGAGUCCACUCUCUCUACUUAAAUUGAGAUUUGGGAAAUCCAUGAUUUAGUAGGAAAAAGACUUACUUGAGCAAGAGCAUUCCUCAUCCUAAACCUCGACUCAUUGAAUUCCACUAAGAAGGAUGAUGUUGGGAUCUUCCCUUUGUCCCUGGUCUAUUCCCCUUUCGAGCUUCCUCCACCUUCCACUCUCCUUAUCAGUAGCAAGAUCAGCAGCAAGGGCGAGCCCUAUCUAUCUGAUUAUCCUUUUCGGAGACUUCCCUUCGCAAGAGAUCAUAUCUGGGACUACGGAGAAUUCUCCUCCUUCCCAAUGAAAGAAAAAGUAUGACUCUUCCCUGGUCGAGACUGAUAACCUAGUCCUAUGGAGCCCCACUCUUCUUUCUUCUCUUUCUUCGUAGUAAAUACCUUGAUUCUAUACAGAAUAAGAUAACUCCUUUCGUAUUCAUACCUCGUCUACAUUAAUAGUGAGCGCUGACUCCUCGGGUAAGCCGUUGAGAUCCGGAAGGAUUGAUCCUACUUAUUCAAAUUCAUUCCGAGGCCACUGACUGACUAAUUCUUCUAGCUUUACUCAAGCGAAGAGAAUCGCUUCCGAUUCAUCAUUAUUACAGAGAUGCUAAAUUCAAUGACUGAGAAAACCCAGCCUAUAUCUAACCGAUGUCAGUGACUCACUCUUAUGCUAUGCAUUCAAUGCCCUAAAAGCACCUCUAUCCUGAAAUCUCUCGACUUUCAUCCUAUUUUCCGGUAUGGACGCGAAGCUCCUCUUCCGAUCCUGGGUGGAGCAUAAAAGGACCUCCCCCUCAACUCUUAAGGAAUCAGACUCCUUCUCAUGAAAGAAAGACUUCUUCCGACCCUCUCCCGAAACAAGAGCAUUCUAAACUUCUACAUCGCGGAGAUAGAGGACUUCGAAUAUGAAUUCAGCCUCCUACUACCUUGUCUUUCUUCUUUCUAUAUUCUUGAACUCAUUGAUAAGGACAUAUUCACUUGCAUCCGAAUCCGAGAAGAAGUCAAGCCCACUGGUCUCGCCUUUGUCCUCUCCCACUAAUUAAGGUCGUCGAGCGGACUCUGAUGAAAGGCAAUUCCCCGAUCCUACUUAGUUAUAGCUGGGUUCUAACCUUUAUAGCUGGAGGACUACUUGGUCUAGCUGCUUGGGUAAGCCCUUUCUAUCCUAUUAGGUCUCGAAGCUUCCUUUGUUCCGAUCCAAGUGCCAUAGUUCCGAUCAGAGUCAACUCGGUCCUUGCUUCCUAUUGGUGCUUUAUAAUAUAAGUCGAGUCGUAUGAUAACCUCUAACUCUUGCUUCGGCAACAUCUCAUUCCCUGUCUCCUGAGAACAGUUAUUCAGUAAUGGAAUAAGAGAGUUUCAUACCGCUACGUGGGACUGAUGGAUUCCAUGGAACAAGAGUCACAGCCGCACUCAAUCAGUGACGUCGUAUGAUAACCUCUAACUCUUGCUUCUGAGAAUACUUAUCGCUUCCAACGGAACUUAGUCCUACGAACUGAAAGAUCCCCUUACAAGCUCAGCUACUCACUGUAGAGCAUACUAACUGCCCGCAGCACCCUCCUCUUCCCCCCGCCGAGAGGGCUUCCUAUGGAGGUGGUUAUGCUUCUUCGCAUACGAUCCCUAUCAAGUCAAGCUCCUUCUUCCACUCCCACUAGGUUUCUUCAUACAAUUCCCGCUCCGUGGGAGUUCUAGCUGCCGAGAGAAGAGUUACCUGUCUGCGUCCCCGCUCCGUGGGCUUCUUAGUCUCUGACCUUGAUUCCAGGACAAAUAACUAUUCUCCUUCCUCGGUAAAUCGGGAAAGCUGAUAAGGGCAACUUCGUCUUACCUUGAAAAAGUAGUUAUUCCCUGAACACUCGUCUUCUCGGGCGGCUUCUUAUAACAUAACCUUCCACUCGGGACACCCGUACCUAACCCUAUGAUUCAGAUGAAUGAGAUCGCACGUCUUUGAGUACUUCCCGCCGAUGAAUUGGGAUUUCUUUCUCAUAAUAGAUAAAGAAAAGAGAUGCAUGCUACUUAAAUGAGAGAUUCAGACCUCUGAAGAAGACCUAUCCUGGGGAAGUCUCGCCCUUUCUCCUCUCGCUUUGUUCGAGCAUAUUUCCUCUUUCUUCCACUCGAAAUCCAUAUAUAUCCUACCAGCCCGCAACCCUUGUUUCGUUACUGACUCUAAUUCUAUUCAUUGAAUACCGUAAAUAAGUAGAUAGAAGAAUAGUUCUUGCAAUGGUAAAGCUCCUAACCCCGAUCAGGAAACCCAUGAAAGAGCAGACUCAACGGAUAAGUCUUCAUCAACCCUAUCUGGGAAAAGGCAAGUCUGAUCCCGGUCCUUUGUCUCCAUUCUGAGAUUCCGAGUUGAACAGGGCGUGAACCUUCCCAUAAUUCAAAGUAUGAAAUAGACUUUUCAUCUUUUCUAAUCCGGAAUGCGGAGUAGGAGGGAUCUCAACAAGAUAGACAUCUUUAUCCCAGGAUUUCUCCUUUCAAGCCUUUCCUUUCAUAAUCGUUCUUUAUAUAAGGGGUUGGGACUCAAUAAAUCCAGUAAGAAGGCAGGGAGAUCUAGCAAGAGCAGACUCUUGUUCAACGACAGCUAGAACGAAAGCUAGGAGAUAAACUGAUUAUUCUGAAAGAACCUCUCCUCUUCCUCUGGUCGAGACGUGCCGGCUCUUCCUCUUGAGAAUUCCUGCGUAUCGUUCAGUUACUCGUAUUGUAGGUGGAGCUCCAUAACGUUCUAGCCUCUCGCUGUGGAAUAGUAGUUAUCCCAGGAAGACAAUCCACAGUGAAAAAAGUAGAUCUGAAGCCACUGAUAGGCGGCCUUUCUAUCUUAUGCAUGAGCUGAUGGGUCUGUCUGUCCGCAGCUGUGAAUUCUAGCAAGAAAGCUAUGUCUCUUUCGUGACAAGCACUCGGAUAUUCUUUCUCUUUCUCUGACGCUUGGAGUGAUGACCUCAUAAGACCGAACCCUAUUGCUGCUUUGCACCUGGCCGGUCGAUCUGACUAACUAAGUUCUUAAAUGGCACAGCUCUCUCACAUAUGAAUACCUUUACUGUCGAGCUAGGGUUUCUCCUAUUUCAUACCGCUACGUGGGUGACUCCCGAUCCUCUCAGUCUCGGUCUCCUUUUCCCGGGUUGAAGGAAGCCUUUCUUUACGUCAAUAUUCUUUUCACCUUAUUUAUUCAAUAUGAUUCAAAUAUUUCUAGUCCUUCGCGGAGGGAAAUACAAGAUUUUGCUAGGUUUUGCCCAUAGGGAAGUAGCAAGAAAUCAUGAAAAAUCAGUCAAAAUUAGACAAUUAUCGUUAUUUAGAGAAAACCGAGAAAGUAUGAAAAAGAAGCAAAAAAGCCGGGAAAUUGCAAGGCAUUGUCCUAUUUGAUUUUCGAAAUUCACAUAGUUUGUGAAAACUUUUCUAAUGGAUAGUCCUACGGACGGAUACUGAGAGGUCUAUUCUUUAUUCCGCUCCGGUUCAAAAAGAAAGAAUGUCUCAUCUUCUCAUAUUUCAUUGACCGUUAGGCUCUCGCAAUAUUCUUUGCGCCUUCUCCUUAAGAAUUCCGGAGGACCCGUCCUACAGUCGUCUGAAACGGACUGAUUUAUGGUAGGCUUUCCUCUUACUAACUAGUAGGUUCCCACUCCUUUUGCUUCAAAGAAGAAGGACUAAAGCGAUCACUGGAAUACCAGUUAGAGUACCCCAUUAUCCAGAAGACUGAGAGUAGUCUCGGCCAUUUGUCCCACUUCCCUCCCCAUUUCAUCAAGUGGUCGUGCUAGAGACAGAAACAGUCAUAGAUAAUUAUGAGAUUCUAUCCUCAAUGAGAAGAUAAUUCGUACUAUUAUUUAGUAUUUUCUUUGAUUUCAUUGAAGAAAUAAUUGGCAAAUAAAACAGCAAGUACAAAAAUGAGUAAUAACCCCCAGUAAAGACUGGUACGAUUCAAUUCAACAUUUUGUUCGUUCGGAUUUGAUUGUGUCAUAGCUCUAUAAUUCGGAUUAGGUUUAUCGUUGGAUGAAUUGCAUUGCUGAUAUUGACCCUAAAAAAGAAACGGUAGGUACAGCUAGUCCGUGAACAGCUAACCAUCGCACUGUAAAAAUAGGAUAAGUUUUCUCGAUAGUCAUUUGGUCCUCCUAAAAAGAUCUACUAAAUUCAUCGAGUUGUUCCAAAGAAUCAAAACGGCCAGUUAUUAAUGGAAUUCCUUGUCGGCUCUCUGUAAAAUACUCAUUUGGACGAGGGCUUCCAAAAACAUCGUAAGCUAAACCCGUGCUGACGAAUAACCAACCUGCAAUGAAUAGAGAAGGUAUAGGCUAUGAAUGACCCAGUAUCGAAUACUGGUGAUAAUAUCAGCAAAAGAACGUUCUCCUGUGCUUCCAGACAUGCCGAGCUCCACAUAUUCUUGUACAGUCAAAAGGGGGAUCGAUUCUGUAAAAGAUGAGAUCAGUAAAUGGAAAUUAACAGAAAUUCGAUCUUUGUAAGAUCGUCAAUAUUGUACCGAGGGUGUUUUUAGAGUAUACCGAAUCAGUAUAGCUAUCCUUCUUCUCACGCAGCAACGCAAUUUCACAAUAAGUAUAAAAAUGAAGCACUAAAUAAUCUCAUUUCUUUCUUCUUUUCUUGGUGCUUGUCGAUGUAGAAUCAUGUACCAUUCAUUCAAUAGAAAAUUCUGACAAUGCCUGUCUGUAGUAUUAAGGAUUCUCUCGGUUAUUGGCUUCGGGCUAGAAAGCGAAGGUUGGGUAAAAUGUGAAUCCAACUGGUUGGUUUAUAAUAAUUCAGGAAGCGGAUUCUAAUAGUCCCAAAAUUCAAUUAAAUUAGCCGUGAAAUCUAGAAAGAUUUCUUUUGUGUUUGUAGUUUGAAUCUUUUUUUUUUAAGGAAUUGGUUAGUCGUCCAGUAACAAGUAACUGUAGUACAUAGGAUUUGAUGAACGAAACAGAACCUAGAUUUAUAUAUUAAAUUAUUGUUUCUAAAUUGUUUAUAAUCAUAAUAUUUGUUUUGACAACUCAAGAGUUGUCCAAUGAAUCCCUUGAUUCCGAAUUGCGGGAUAGAGAGACAGAUGAUGAAUUGAUUUCUUACCUAUGUCACAAGAUUUUUGUUAGUAGCAUCUAUAAUCAUAAUAAUAGAUGAAUCAAAAACUUUCAAUUGAAUAUAUUCUUGAAAUUGGUAUUUUGACUUAUCCAUCCGCGUAUCUUUCAAAAAUAGAAACUUAGGGAAGUGCUUUAUAAACAUAUGGAUAAAAAUAACGUAUUGAAUUUAGCCUCGUCAUGCUUACUAUCACUAGUUAUUUCGGUUUUCUACUAGCAGUUUUCACUAUAACCUCAGCUCUAUUUAUCGGUCUGAACAAGAUAAGACUUAUUUGAUGAAAAUUAAUUGAAUGCACAAUUCAAAAAAAGAAAGAUUGAGGUCUUAUUCAAUAUAUUCUAUAUAUUGUAGAGUUCUUUACCUUGUCAAUUCAAUUUCCAAUUCUUGGUCAUUGGGCAGGGCAAUACCGAUUCAUUUUUUAAGGAUAGAUAUUACCUCUCCUUUUCCUCGUUCAACUAAAUUUCAAUGAUUGAAGUUUUUUUAUUUGGAAUCGUAUUAGGUCUAAUUCCUAUUACUUUGGCUGGAUUAUUUGUGACCGCAUAUUUACAAUACAGACGGGGGGAUCAGUAGAAUUUUGAUCUAACAAAACAAGAAUCGAAUCACGCUCUAUAGGAUUUGAACCUACGACAUCGGGUUUUGGAGACCCGCGUUCUACCGAACUGAACUAAGAGCGUUUUAUUAUCAAACUAAAUGCAACCCGAAUAUAUCUUCCAUACAUAUAUUAGAAUAUAGAAUAUCAGAAAAUGAAACAAAAAAAGAUGGAUUCGAUAUAUGAAAAGAUUGAUUCGAUAUAUGUAUGUUCAAUUUUUAUGGAUCUCAAUUGAUUCCUCGUUACUGUUCAGAAGAUAAGUAAUAGGUAGGGAUGACAGGAUUUGAACCCGUGACAUUUUGUACCCAAAACAAAGGCGCUACCAAGCUGCGCUACAUCCCUUUCAAUUGGUCUACAGUGUUAUUGUAGAGAAUCCCUGUCUUGUUUUCCACAUUUUUGAUUUAUUUCCUCCAUUGGUAUACACAAAUUAUCUUGCCAUUUCUUCUUUUUUGUCUCAUAGAAUAUCAAAAAUAGAAUAAAAAGACUUAUAUACGUAUGAAAUAAUAAAUAGGAAAUGGGGGAAAGCUACAUAUUUUUUUGAAUAAAAAAGGGAUGUUGUACAUUUCAAUUUGAAUUAGGAAUUCCGCGGACAAUACAAGCGGUUAUUAACUAUAUAUAAAUUUGAUGGUAUGUAAUACCAGUAUGUAUUACAAAUUACUAUCAUUAUUUAUUACAAAUUACUAUCAUUAUUUAUUACAAAUUACUAUAAAGUAGGAGGGUUUUCAAUGCGAGAUCUAAAAACAUAUCUCUCCGUGGCACCGGUAGUAAGUACUAUAUGGUUCGGGGCUUUAGCGGGUCUAUUAAUCGAGAUCAAUCGUUUAUUCCCGGAUGGAUGCGUUGGUAUUCCCAUUUUUUUCAUUCUAGUUAUUGACUUGGGAAGGGGUGAAGAAGAUUAGAAAAACAAUCAAAUAUCUUUUCAUACCUUCUUUUUUUUAGAGUUUUUAGACUUAGAAUAAGUUAGAAAGAAUCAAAAUAGAUUCAACCUCAGUCAAACUCGGACCCGGCGCCGGGUUCAAAUUUCAUUAAUAAAAGAACGAAAAUUCAAAUGUGAUGGCUAGGGCAACAAUAACAAACAUAGAGUAAAUAAAUCAAAAUAGAAAUGGAUAAAGAAAUAGUGGGUUCCUUCCUUUCUAUGGUUACUUCUUAAACGGUGAGGUCCUCUCUAUACACCGGAGCUCCUUCUUUUAUUUCAUCAAUGUUAUUGUUAACUUGUACAGGUCACCCUCUUUGGCUCUACCCAUGAAUUAUCUAGUAAUCGGUCUUUCACAACGAGAUCUACCUAUACAGUAACGGUAUUUCAUUAUGAAGAUUAGUUGGGUAGCUGACCCUCUUAGUCCGUUCUUGGAAGAAUAAGGCCAUAAUCCUUCUGUUAAAUAGGAUUUCCUCUGCUUAAUGGAUAAGCAUUUGUUACCAAUGGGGAAUGCAAAAUCAUCUAAAAUUGCAAAUUGAGAUGACCAAUAGAAACCAUAAAUUUGAUACACAAUAAAAGGAUACGAGAAAUCUUUGUUUAUUUCUUUUCGGUAGUGAACGGAGUUCUUCCAUUCAUUCUAUCCUAGUCACUGGUACUUAUCACUGAUACGGGAUCAAUUUUUGACUUUCUUUUGUCCCGGUCCAUGGUCUAAACGAGUCGCACAUACACCCUAGUACAUCUUCCUCGACGCUGAGGGCAUCCCCGAAGGGCGGGCGAUUUGGUGACAUUUCUGAUUGGCUGUCUUGUCUUUCUAAUAAGUUGUUUAAUAGUUGGCAUGUUGAAUUGUAUACAUAAUGAGUUGGUUUAGAUCAAUCCUAACCGGAUGAUUAUGAAUUACUUCUAGAUUCGAUAUUAAUAAUUAAUAUGAUUAAUAGUAAUCCGGUAAAAUUGUCAAAUCUCAAUUUCGGAUUUUUGCGAGCAAUACUUAUUAAACCGCUACAAGAUCAACAAUUCCAUGAGCUUGGGCUUCUGGUGCUGACAUAAAAACAUCUCUUUCCAGGUCUUCGGAUAUAACCCAUAAGGGUUUGCCUGUUCUUUGGACAUAAACCUUUGUGAUGGUUUCGCGCAGGUUCAGUAGUUCGGUCGAUUCCAGGACAAAUUCUCCCGUUUUUCCCUUAGAAAAAGAACUAGCAGGUUGAUGGAUCAUUACCCUGAUGAUUUCAUAAAUGGUUUUCUCUAUCUUACAUCAUUAUCAUGAUGAGUCAAAAAAAGAUAAUCAAAAAAAGAAAGAUAGGAUUAACAACCGUACAGGCAUCCUUUGUGCAGUGCAUACGGCUCCACAAUGGAAUGAAUUUUGACCUUCCAGCGAAGGAAUAGAAAAUAGAGGAUCUAGCAGACCCAGAGCAGUAAAUGAUCCAAUAACCACCCUUCCUUUUUUUGAGAAAUUUGGAAAAUACUAGGAUGGUUCCGUUGCUUUAUGAUUUCGUUUGUUAUUCAGCAAUCCCAAAGUUUCUUUUUUUUUUUCAAUUGAUUAAAAGUUUUCUAUCAAUGCUAUUUAGAAAUCGAAUAUAGUAGUAAUCAUAUCAUAGAUAGAUUCCAAAUUUCGUUUUUUCUAAGCGGAGCCUGGAUACUUCAUUUUAUUAGUACAACCGAGAAAACCAUAAAUUAUUCGAAUUUCUAAUAUCAAUCAGGAUACCCCCCCAAAAAAAUAGAUCUAAUUGCACUUCACGCUCCAAAUUUUUGAUGAUGAAAUCAAUCCGUCUUGGGCGAAAGAGAGGAUAUCUCGAUCGGGGGAGAGAACGGGGAAAUACCAUAUGACCCAAUAUAUCUGACAAGUCGCACUAUAGGUCAACCCACGAUGCAUCUUCUUCUCCGGGAAGUCGAAAGGGUACUUUUGGAACACCAACAGGCAUUAAAGCAAAGCAAAAAGAAGUAAGUAGUAUAGCUAACGUUAAUGUGGAAGCGUAACAACGGGUUUAUUGUCUUAAUAAAUAAGAUGGGCCUUUAUCAGAUUUUCUCUUUUCACAUAUUUUAUACAUAGAUUUCAUAAUAAUAAGUUCAUAAAAAAGGAAAACAGAAUUCAAUUAAUAAAAGAAACUUCUUCCCGAAUAGGUUUUUGAAUGAUGAACAAGUAUGUAUACAUUCAUUCAUAUAAAAUAGGAUCAAUUCCCAUCUACCAUUGCGUAUUGGUACUUAUCGAGUAUAGAAUAGAUCUGCUUCUUUUUGUUCCUACGAAUAGAAUCGAAUUGUUCCAUUAUUACUCAAAGAAUAGAAAAAAUCUGAAUCCUUUCGCCAAGAUAAUCCCCUCAAAGGGGGAGGUCCGUAGCAUAGUUUUUUUUUCAGUGCAAUAAAGUUAGAUAGUGUCUAUUUUUCCUUGAUAAAGGGGUAUUUCCAUGGGUUUGCCUUGGUAUCGUGUUCAUACCCUUGUAUUGAAUGAUCCCGGUCGUUUGCUUUCUGUUCAUAUAAUGCAUACAGCUCUAGUUGCUGGUUGGGCCGGUUCAAUGGCCCUAUACGAAUUAGCAGUUUUUGAUCCCUCUGAUCCUGUUCUUGAUCCAAUGUGGAGACAAGGUAUCUUCGUUAUACCCUUCAUGACUCGUUUAGGAAUAACCAAUGAAGGGGAGGUUGGAGUAUCACAGGAGGGACUAUAACUCAUCCGGGUAUUUGGAGUUACGAAGGUGUGGCCGGAGCACAUAUUGUGUUUUCUGGAUUGUGCUUCUUAGCAGCUAUCUGGCAUUGGGUGUAUUGGGAUCUAGAAAUAUUUUGUGAUGAACACCGAAGAUUUUUUUCAUUCAUUUAUUUCGGGUUGCUUUGGUUUUGGUGCAUUUCAUGUAACCGGAUUGUAUGGUCCUGGAAUAUGGGUAUCCGAUCCUUAUGGAUUAACCGGAAGGGUACAAGCUGUAAAUCCUGCGUGGGGUGUCUCAGGCUUUGAUCCUUUUGUUCCGGGCGGAAUAGCCUCUCAUCAUAUUGCAGCGGGUACAUUGGGCAUAUUAGCGGGCCUAUUCCAUCUUAGUCUUCGUCCGCCCCAACGUCUAUACAAAGGAUUACGUAUGGGAAAUAUUGAAACCGUCCUUUCCAGUAGUAUCGAUGCUGUCUUUUUUGCAGCUUUUGUAGUUGCUGAACCAUACCACAUAGUUCCAGCAACUACCCCGAUUUCAUUGAAUUAUUUGGGCCCACUCGCAAGAAAUAUCUCUUUUUUUGAGUGCCGGGUUAGCCGAAAAGAGAAGUUUCUCUGAAGAGUUAGCUCGGUAACAUCACUAGAAGAAGUCCUUUUCCCGGUAUUUGCAAUACUAUUUGACAGAAAAAAGGGUUGAUUGAAAGGAGCAAAGAAUAUUGCGAAGAUUUGAAGAAGACAUUUAAGCGGAAGCCUUGUUCAAAGAAUAUUGAAAGGUCUUCAACGAGAAGAGUUAAGAACAUUGUUAUCCCGGGAAUAGAGUUAAUAAGUUUGACCCUCAAUACACCCACAAGGUGGUAUUAUAGUACCCAAUGCUAUCGAGAAACUUAGCACCACGUGUCUACAUGAUGCAUAAGCUAAGAUUACGAUCAACCUCCUGGCCUUUCUUCCAUGGUUGGAAGAAUGCAUAGGCCGUGAAGAAGCCUUAAAACCCAGACCAGCCGUACGUAAUCGAGUCGAAAGACUUCUAUUACUCGGACCCGUGAGAUGAUAAUUGUACCAUCCCAUAGGUGUCCAAGCUUCAACGAUCUUCUUCACCGAAAUAGGUGAGACAUCAGUCAUCAAUCUAUUAAGACGGGAACCUCUUAGCAAUAGCAAAUUCCGCGGCACCUGUUGGGGAGUCUAAUGUAAUGACUUUCCGACCGAAAUGGAGACACCGCUCCGUGGGUCAGUAAGCAACUGAAUAUAGAAUGCCUUAACGACAGGGUCUGCGAUGACAACAUCGUCACCGCUCCGUGGGACCGCAUAGUUCUUAAAGACUGAACCUGGAUAUACAUGUUCUGCCGCAAUCCACACCACUUUGUGGUGAGAUAAGGCAAACAAAGGCCAAGAGGAAUAAUAGCCGAGAGGCUGCCCCGCCACAAAGGAUACACUCGUCCUUUUGCGCACAAAGGCAAGAUCAAAUAUGAGAGUUGCUAAUGCAGAGUUGACUACGCUAGAAGCGAAAGACCUCCCAAACAUCGACUGCAUAAGCUCAAAGAUGAUGAGAAGAGGCCACCGGUCGGUGGCGGACUUCAGAUCAACAGAAUGAACCGAUUCACACCUUUAAGUCUAUCAAGGGGUGCUCUGCAGAUGAAAGGUACCAUCCAUGGGUAUCCGUUUAAGCACUUCUGCAAGCCACUGAUGGACUGGGUGCAGCAACCGUUGAUUGAUAUAGUUACCGCUCCGUGGGGCAAAGAACCUUCUCUUUCCGUCUCCAGUUUCGGCGCAACACAGUUUUCCGGGUAUGGCCGGUGGUCAGGACUCGGGAGUAAAGGACCAAUCCGCGCUUCAAACCAGUCUAACUUUGGUUAUUCUGGUCAGGAUCAAAGGCAUACCGCUCCGUGGGUCAGGGUGGCCACAAAGAACCUUGUGAGAAUUGCUCUUCUCUACUAUGAACAAACGUCAUCAAAAUAGAAGCCAGUGAAUAAGGAAAUGAGUAAAAGAUGCUCUUCUUGGCGAUCGGUUUUAACGAUCUACCAGAAGCAUCUCCAUGUUUUCCAAGGAACUUUGUGUACCACGCUCCAGUAGGUACGGACUUCCAUCUUGGUCUGAACUCCAACCCUUGCUGCAUUGGUAUAGUGUUCAAAAAUGGGGGAUAAAGAUCAAGAAUUGGCUUAAUGUGCCACUUUAUCCACCAUCUAUUAAGAGUGGUUUGAAUCAAUUCGAGAUCGGCAGGGGUCACAAUGCUACUAAAAGUACUAGUGGUGCAAGCUGAAUAAGCUUGGACACAGAAAAUAACGACAUGUACAGUUUCAUAACAUUGGGAUCCCUCAAUAGCUUGUCUAUGAAAAGACGGGAUAAUUCUAGGAAUCCCACUCCUAGUUAAAGAGACGAAGACAGAUAGAUCAUAAGGGGUGGAAUCGUCUCCCACUACCCUCAUCAGCGAUGUUCUGCAUUGCUUUAAGUACAAAGCAAGAAACUGCCAUCCAGAUUUUCUCUGAAUCUGUCGACACUUUUGCCAGAACAAGUGUGUGGCUAUACACCAUUCCUUAGUAAUACCGUCAGUGAGUGAGAAAAUUCGUGUACUCAAGACUGAUUUUAUGACUCUCUCGUCUUCCAAGACUCUUCGCCAGGUGACUUUAACCUGAGGAGAAGAGCGAACAGAAAAGAAUUUCUUAUUCAUUAUGAACUUCCUCUCUUAACCUUUUGGUAAGUCGCCACUCGCCUUAACUGCGAGUUUGAGCGGGGGGAGGAGGAAGCCCUUAAUCCUCCCACCAGCGGAGAAGCGACCGGAAACGCGGACGAGAACACUCUUGGAGAUUGAUGAACAGAGUGUUUUAGCCACGGUCUGAAGUACUCCUAUGUAGGAGGGAGGAAAAGCCCUGGAGGUCAGUAUAAUGCCUCCCCCGGACGUACUCCUUAGAGGGGAAGCGGGAUACCUAAAGUCGCGAUAUAAAUAAAGGAAGUGAAAAGAAGGGCUUUCUGGCUAAUGAUAUAGAUGAUUUCAUCAGUUGACUGCUUUCUUACUCAUGCUUUCUGACUGUGGGAUGAUAAGAAAAGGGAAGUCCGAGUAUGAAGGAAUUCCCGGAGUAUAUAGUUGGUGGAAUAUGAAUAGCUAAGAUUCACUAAUGCCUUUUCUUUCUAUUGCUUUUUAGCAGAUGUAGCCGGAGCUUGGUUGAAGUGGAAUAAUAUUCCGGUCUAGUGAGCGUAUAUGCCUCCUUCGCCUCCGCCUUCUAGCCUUCUUAGCUUCGCUACCCCUGCCCUGUGGUACGUCAAGAGAAAGGCUUGGCCCAUAGGUUCAAGAAAGAAGAUUACCGCUACGUGGGCCAGUUGUGCCUUAAGCGAUUGCCAUUCCAGGUCGUAUGAUAAGAAGAGUCACCAUGAACCCCGGUAUGAUCUCUUGAGCGAGAACUCUAUGAGCGGGGGAAGGGAGAGGUUUCAUGAGUCACUUCCAGAGAGAAUGAGCGAAGCAGCCGGGUGCGGGAGUUCUUCCAUUAGAAGAAAGGGAAAGACAUUACAAUCACAAGAACUCUAUCCGGAAAGUAGGGUUAUGAACUCAAGACCCUAUUUUCUUAGGUUAGAAUAGGAUCGACCCUAGCUCUCCAGUAUCGGCUGAGAGGGACUAUAGUACUCUAAUCUAAGCAGAAUAGGGUAUUUCUAGAGUAGCAUCCAGAGUCAGUGGCUGUGUCAGAUCCGGAGUCAUAAGUAUCUCUUUCAGUUAGUCUUGAGUUAGAGAAAUAGGUUUCUGUCCCAUCAUAGCACUGCCUAUCCUUUCCUGUGGAGGCAUCAAAAUUCAAUUCUUCCAAAUAGUAGAGUAGGUUCUUAUCCAAGAAAAGUUAAGCUUGAUAAAGUCCUUCUAGUAAUAGGUUUCAUAGUCCUUCGGACAAGUCCUCCGGUUCAAAAAUAUGAUUCAUAGUCCUUCGCAAUAUUAGUGGAAUUAAUCAGUCCUUCGCCAUAUUAGUGGAAUACUUUUUCUUUUAACGCAAAGAAUAUUGCGAGUUGAAAAAAGGCCUACGGGUUCAAAGAAUAUUGACAAAGAAUUUGAGAUGCUACUAUUUGGAAUAAGACUAGUCUUCCGUGUGGGAGCGCAAAUAAAUCAGACUCAAGAGUCGGACCUACGGCAAGGUUAUCAUAUGGACAGUCCUUCGGACUUCGGACGGAGUGCAAAUCGAACUUCGGAGGACUGAGGAGCGGAGCUCUUUAGAUAAGAAAAAAGACACAGACGCAUACGACUCAAGAAAGAGGGAGAACAACUCCCACGUAGCGGUAAGAGACAGAGUCCGCUGCUCGACAGUUAAGGAUCGGAAGUUGCUUAGCUGUUCUUGUAGCAGUUGUCUUGUUCCAGGAGAAGUUGAAUAGGUUUCAUGAUAGAACUAUGAACUAAAAGAUUCCCCAUUAGUAUAUUCAUCACUCGUAUAAUCCCAAUGAGUCGGUGCUCAGCUGCUAUCGGUCCCACUCCGCGGUCUUCAUACGACUGUAUCAGAUAGGGGAGAAGGCACUGGACAACAAGAGGGGCCCAGUUGCGGCUCUCCCGUUAUUCGUUAUGAGGUCAGUUAAUUCAUACAAUCAGUCGAUGUUUCAUGAGUCACUCCACAAAAGGUAACUUCAAUCGUCCGCGCGAAGAGCAUAGUCACUCGAGGUUGAGGAAGAAACUCUCCCAGCCGGGCCGGAUUGACCGCGGAGUGGGUAGGUUAGGAAGCAAGGGUCUCCACCGUUUAGGGGGAUAUUCUUUCUGUCGUUGCUUUUCUUCUUUCAGUUGUUCUUGAUAAGAACUGGGACAACUCAAUAAUCUCUUAACUAAGGUUCAAAGAAUAUUGACCGAAAAAAGAGGACAAACUAGACAAGACGAGGCGCCUCAAGCUAGAUCUAAUAUUGAAUUGCCCCUUGCUUCUUACUGGAUUGAUUUUCUCCCACUUUCUUCUCUGAAAUACAGUUCUUUCUCUUUUAUCAAGGAUAGAAGCUUGAACCGGAGGCAAGGCUCAAAGACGCAAUAUUCUUUGCGCCUCCGUCAAAUAAGAAGCUGGAGGCUGGGUAAGGACGACUCAAAAGGAGCAGAAAGAUUCUCUCUCUGAAUUCUCACUCUCAAAGCAUGAAUCAAAGAUUCCCAACAAUCAAAGAAAUUGAAAAAGAAUAAGUUCAGAACUCUGAAUAUCGGUAGUUUAAGCUCCUUCUGCUGACUUGUUCUUAAUCUCAACCGUAGGCAAGGCACCUAGGGCAAGGUUUUGAUGAUUUGAAAAGAAGAUCAGAAGAAGACAAAGAAGACGACUCCAGAGGAGCGGCACUACAUAAGACUCCUACUACGGGGAGCGCAAACCAAAGGCAACAAAAAAAGCUUUACUAGAGGCGCAAAGACCAAAAAAUAGCCACUUUUUGAUUCUGGCUGGGAACGAACUUUUUGGUCGGCCAAUUAAAAGGAGACAGCUCUUCGUCUAUGGUGAAGCGAGCACGCAGAAAACGUUGAUGAUCAGUAUGUUGAAAAAGAGUGGUUUAAGAGUUGGACAAAGAAAAAAGGACUAUGCGGGAGCCCAUGAUUUCUUCGAUCUUUGGGUGAUUGAUGAGUGAAUGGAAGAUAAUUCGCAAAGCUUAUACGAGACAGAGCAGCGCAGCGCAUACAUGAAGGCGAUACUCACUCUACUUGAUGGCCAGGAAUCUAGGUUGGACGGAAAGUACGAAAGAAGGUUUCUAAAGAAGGCAAAUGUACCGAGAAUUUUGAUGAUUCCAUCUGCCUUCAAAAAUCUUUCCACUCCCAGGUGGAGUAAGCGAAUCAUGCCCGAGAGGUUCUACUCCAAAGGAAUUGGAAGGAGAAAGGGUUGCAGCUACUAUGUAUGGAUGCAUGUGUAGAAGAGCCGACUAUGAGUGCAUCCUGAGAAAUCCCAACCUGAAAUACUCUUCUCUCAAAGGGGUAGAAAUCAGGGUGAGCGACCCCGAGGGAAGCAUUUAUUCUCUCCUCGAGAUUGAGGGCGGGAAGGAAAGCCUCUUGCUUUUCUCGCGGGGAAGGAUUUCCCACGGAGUUCAAAAAGAAAGAAUGAAGGAAGAAAAAGAAGAAAAGACGAGAGAGGAGUGGGGAGUGCAGAGGCAAGGUGCAAAGAAUAUUGAGCAAAGCCUAUCCUUCGUAGCCUCAGAGAGUUAAGGAAGAAAGGUCAUCCUUGCACUCCUUCCCAGUCGCUUCGCUUCGCGCCUUCUACGCGGCUGGGCUGGGUUCUUUGACUUCUGUCUAUCUCGCCUAGGCCCAUCAUUCAAUUCUUUCUUUCCCCUAAGAAAGCGAAGAUUCCAACUUUCAUGAAGCAUAGGCCUCAUUCUCACAUCCCACAUGAAAAGAAGAAUCGGGUUCAGAGUUCAUACGACCGGAUAGUAUGAAAUAUCUUUAGCGCAAUCCAUCUGCCAAGCCUAGUCACGAGACCGUGAGGAAGAGGAGGUAGGAUUCGAUCUUGAAUCAGAGUGAAGAGUUAGCGAAGGCUUUGGAACUCCUUCUACCACCCCUAGGUAUUCUCUCUUUCAUUAUGAAGGUGCAAAGCUGCGAGAGCUAAAGGCGAGAGGUUAGACCCAGCUCUAUCUCCGCAGAAAGAGUAGCUGCGAGACGAGGCCUGAUUCUUCUUAUCGUAUCUGAUAUCUUGACUCGGGAUCCGAAGUCUAUUCUGUAUCGGAUCGGGAACCGAGUGACUCAUUAUCACUCUUAUUCAGUAAUGGAAUUCAGAACUCCUAACUCAAGACCCGGACCAAGUCUGAUUUUAGUACUUCUUCCUAUGGAUUUUCCCUUUUUCUUAGACUUUUCUACUGAUUUGACCAAGAAGAUUCCCGGUAAGUAAAUCAUCAUACCUCUUCUAGAAAAAAUGUGAACUGAACUUCCCGUGGAAGGGGAAGGACCCCUGUACUGUACCCGAUAAGUAGUAAAGAAGACAAAGAGAUCAUGAAAGAGAGAAUGAAGAGGCUUAGACCCUAACCCUGUACCCAAGACCAAGCAAAGAAAGAAGACCGUAGGGUACCGCGGAGUGGGCCAUGUAGCUUGCCUUGCCAUCUCAAUUGGACACCACAUAGAAUUAUAGAAAUAUAUAGUAGAUUCGUCAUCAUCACUAUUCUCUCUUUCAAAAGAGGGAGAAAGUAGGUCGACUGUAGGGGCAGGGGAAGAGUCAUAAAGGCCGGCCGAGUGCCAUAACCUUCUGUCUGAGUUUCGGGCUCGGAGCGAAGCUUCUUAGUUUACUCGGGAUCUACGCCUCAGUCUGAGUUCCGGAAUAAGGAAAGAAAGACCCUACUGUAAAGCAGCGAGAGCUAAAGCGAAAACUAAGAUAGAGGAAGAAGAAGCAAGGGAUAUCUUUUUUUCGGAUUCUGAGUGUUGAGGGGCAAAGAAUAUUGCGCUGUGAGAAUGAGUCACUGUAAUAGAGUCCGAUAGGCUUAUUCGUUAUAACUAGCUUUCUCAUAGCAGUUUCAUAGGUUUCUAGAGUCACUCCAUGAUCAAGAAUCAAGUCUUCUCUCUUAUCGAGUUUUCUAAGGAUCCCACUACGCGGGGAACCGGCCUUUUCUCAUUCAUCAGAUCUUGCGGCCGAGGUUAAGGCUUCUUAUCUGACGAAGGAUAAGUCGCUUCCCUUGUUCAUUGACUUUCAUGCCUUAUUCAUGAUAAGGCCUAAGGCGAGGCUGAUUUCUCUUUAUCCUUGUAAUAAUGAGGUAGCCGUUUUUCAUUCUCCCUUGCUACUGAGAGAGAUUACCUAGCCUCAAGCUAAGAUAGAAUAGGGGAGUCAGCCAGGGAAGGAAGAUCCUGAAUGGCACUCUGAUCGGGAGAGCCCUCAAGAGAUACGGAUGAAACUCUUUAGAUAUUAUGUAGCCCUUGAUCUUUCUUAUGAGAAUAGAAUAAUUGCUUGACUAAGCUGCAAGGGCACGGUCUUCAGCCGAUACAGAAAGCUAUAAACAAGUCCUCGCAAUAUUCUUUGCACCUCUCCAACUCUUAAAAGAAAGAAUCUUCCAGACCAUACUCAGAAGAUCGGAAAGAGGGGUCAGGGGGAAAAGUGCACAAUGAGAUGAUCUCAUUCAUCAAGAGAGUUUCUGGGUUUAUUCAAUGUGAACAAGGUUCCGAUUCCUCAUUCAAGGCAGAUGAGGCAUAUUCAAGAGAAACUGCGGGAGAAAACGACUCAAGAGGAGCGGUCAGCCCUAGUUAUAGCUUUCCCUCUUUUCCCUUGAUCUAGCUUAUUCGUAUUCAACGGGGAAUUUGAGAUCUCAUACCCUACGAGCGACUCUACAACUUGGACAUAAGCUCUGGCAGACAAGACAUAUAGUGCAGAAGAGCAGAAUCAUAGACAAGCAAGAUUUCACAUCCUUUCGCCUCUCCAACUAAUAGGGAGCUGCCUACUGCGCUUCCUUCUAACCUGGCCUUGAGAGAAGAGCGGCUUCCCCUGUAUUGGCUGGCGAAGAUGGUGGCAUGGUAGCGACGCCUUUGGGUUCUCCUAUACGGAGGAGGAAUGGGCAGGCGCGAGAUCAAGAGUUGAGGAUAGGAUCUCCUUCUUCAUCUUUCAAUUAUCUCAGGGAAUCCAGCUGCCAUUUACGAGGGGAAGAAGAAAAGCAAAUAAAGCAAGGAAGUAUAAAGGCUAAAGAGAAGAAAGAGAAAGCCUAUCAUGAAAGUUCAAAAGUCUUUUCUUCUAACAAAGGCGCAAAGAUCUAUGGCCCACUCCUCCUUCAGCAUAAUCUAUAAGAAGAUUUGCACUGGGGGAUAUUCUUGUUGAAGUUUUCAGUGAGAGAGAUUCCUCUCUUAUUAAGUCGAGGGGACUGUAGACCCGAGUUCUAGCGCCUCGUAUCGACUUCUUAGUUCGAGAUGGUGGGGACUUUUUCAGUGAGAAUGAAAAGCCUUAUAGAAAAGAAGGAACUCGUUUCUGAAAGGUGAGACCAGCGGGAGAGGAUAAAGGCACGCUCCCAAAGUCAGCCGAGGCACCAAACUCGACAAGAGGUUAGGCUUAGCCAAGCUGCUAUCUGGUUCGGGAUCUACGUUAUGAGGGAAUUGAAUGAAGCAGAAAGAUCGUGGUAAUUAGAAGACAUCUUUGAGAUUGCGUAAACUGGAGAAAGGGAGGCCACCGAAUAGAAAGUAGGUGGUCAUACGUCUCCCUGAGGCUGGUCUUUCCUUAUUUGACUUAGGACUAGAUGUGGUAUAACCCCCUGACCCACGGAGCGGUAAUGAGGCCGUCUUGUUCACGUGAGGGGCGGGAAAGGUAAGGAUCGCGGUUCAGUUAUCUCUUUCGGACACGUAUUAGGGCGUGAUCUUGUGUCGAAAGGCACUGUCAUAUUCUUGCACCUAGUAAGAAGAGGAUCUGGUCAUCAAAUAAACUUGCUGCUGGUUAAGAGUGGCAUCCGGAUUCAUACCAGGGCAAAAAAAAGGCGGAUUAGAACUCAUCGACCGCCUUGAUUCUCUUCGGACGCUGCUCGACAAGAGGCAGGCAGAGUUGGAUCGGCCGAAGAAUUAGUGGGACGCCCUCAAGCUAGAAGAAAGUAGGCAGCAUGAAAAUCAGUCUUCUUUCCGAUUCCGAUCUUGAGGAAAGUCCUUUUCUCGACUAACUGGUAAGGAGUGGAACGGCCAUCUAGCGAUCCGAAAAGCUAGGAGAUCAACUUCUCUUCCUACUUCAACGACUUAUGCUAGAGAAAGAACUGGAAGACCCACUUCUCUUACAAGAUCGAACCCUUCAUCCUCACUAGCCGCCCGCGAAAGGGAAAGAAGUCAGAUGACGAAGAUGAGUGGAAUCGAAUCUCAUUGAAUGGAUCCCGGAAUGGAAUCAGAUAGGACGGAAGGAUUUGAACCUCCUCUGAUAGCGGCCUUACCGCGCCCCAUGAAAGACAAUACCUCCUCUCCUUACAGUCGAGCCGCUUUCGCUCCUCUCCUUACAGUCGAGCCGCUUUCGCUCCUCUCCUUACAGUCGAGCCGCUUUCGCUCCUCUCCUUCGUCCCUUCGUUCGUUAGCAGCUUCUAACCUUGUAUCAGCAGAGUCAUGGAGACAGACUCCACCAAAAAAAGGAGUCUUGUAAGGGAUUCCAUUCUACCGCCUCAACUCAAUGAUGAAUUCAAUCUUCUUUGUAUAUUCCGUCGUUCUUUAUCAAGCUUAAUCUCUGGCAUGAAAUGUCCUGAAUGAACCCACCGUAAGCGUGAACCCCACGGAGCGGAAGAGAGGUCUCAGGCAAGUUGCCAAGCUGCUCUUUCUUUCUUUCUGCGCUUUUCUUGCUUAUGGAUGGUAUCGAUAUUAACCUCCCUAAUCGGCUUAAGGGAAUAGAAAUCCUUCAUUCAUUACGUCCGGUACAUUGAGAAAGUACGAAAAGUAGGGUUAUAAGUACCAAGCAGAAAGAAGAAAGCCUAGGAGUAGGAGGGAGGCAAAGAAUCAGACUCCAGAGAAGACCGCGUAGUGGGAAAACGUGGGAACCUACCCCCGGAGGUUAUGUAAUAGCGAGACCUGUCCGGAGGCGCAAAGAUCGUGGAUAAGUUCUUCCCGCGGAGUGCUUUCUUUAUUUCUCUCAACAAUAUCUCUGUCUUAUGGAGAGAGGUUCAAUUCAAUAUUCAUGAAUUCAGGCCUAUCCAUUAGAGAAUUUGACUUUGGAGGCCCAUAUGCGUGAGAAUGAAUUUGAGAGGCGCAAAGAAUAUUGCGACUUUCACCUUGUGCUUCAAAACUCUCCAAGAAAAAAGUCUAUUUAUGAGACUUUUUAAGCGGAAAUCAAUUUGACUGUGAUUUUCUAUUGAUUAGACAUCUUUUCUUGCCUUCCACCUAGGGCGAAAAGUGACUCAAAAAGAGAUUCUCCCUCUAAAAACAAGGAUAGAUAGAAGGAAUCCAUAAAAAAGUUGUAUAAGUUCUUUCAGUUUCGAUCAGAAGCGAGACCGGUCCGGAGGACUCCCAGAAAGUGCUCAAGAUUCUUAAUGAACCGGAGCGGAGGCAAGGUUUUUAUGAUUUACAAGACUAUGUAAAAGAUUAAGAUGCGAAGCGACUGAAUUAAUAAAGAAGAGAUAAUCUGUUAAGGAGCGCAAAGACGCAAUAUUCUUUGCGCCUUCGGAUCGGAAAAAAGUCUAAUCUUUCUCUGGGUCCUCCGUUUUAGAGUCCUACGGAUAAAUCCUCCGGACCUGUGGCACCUCUUAAGUCGCUUCGCUUCGGGCCUUCGUAGCUUAAUACAAUGAACAUCCAUAAAUAAAUAGGGGGUGUAGUGCCUGAAUUUCUUUCUUGUCCCCCAGUUUGAACAUGAAUGAAGAUGAGAUUUGACUUGAGCAAUAUUCUUUGCACCUCCUUCAUAGUCAUCUGGACCUUUCUUUUUGGCGUGGGAAUUGAACGAAGGCGCAAUUCAAUAUGCGUGAGAACCGAAAAUCUGAGAUAAUUCAGGCUUCGGACCGCUCCAGAAAAGAAAGAAUCUCAUCUUGACCUGAACUAAAAACCUAUCUUUAUAGAAGUCAUCGACCGCCUUGAUUUUAGCCUCUGGACCUCUUCAUUCUCGCAAUAUUCUUUGCGCCUUUAUCUUCUCUUUCUUCCUUUACCUCAAAAUCCUCUCUAUCCGACCUCUGCAUUCUCCAAAGACUUUAUUCAAAGAUUUCUUUCGAUAUAUCCUUUGAAUUACUCAACUAUAUCCUAUGAAUUUCAUUUCGCACCGGAAACUAUUAUCGGAGAAGUUCGAAUCCGUUUCGUUCGGAUAUUGAUCGGUCUUGCUUUGACAUGGUUUACGCGUUACUGGUUCCCGGAAGAGUUAAUAUCUCCAUUAGCUAAACCCUUUCUUACCCUGCCUUUGGACUCGUAUUUUGUUUGUACACAAUCAACGGAGGCCUUCCCGACAUAUCUUGCAAUGUCUUCAAUAGCAUGCUCUUACUUCGUCUUUCCCUUAAUAAGUCAUCAAAUUUGGUGCUUUUUGAUCCCCAGUUGCUAUGGAGAACAAAGGACGAAAUACAAUCUCUUCCUCUAUUUAAGUGGUUCUCGCUUCUCCUUAUUCCUCUUCCUAAGUCUUCCCCGGGUAGUUCCCAAUGUUUGGCACUUUCCAUACUUCGUGGGUGCAACAUCAACAAAUUCGCUCAUGAUCAAGUUACAACCUAAGAUCUAUGACCAUAUUAUGUUAACAGUUCGUAUUUCGUUCAUUCUAUCGGUAUGCUCCCAGGUACCUGUAAUUGUGAUCCGUUUGCCAGAACUAAGGGGUCUUUCUGUGGAAACCUUCACGAACAAUCGUCGUUUUUUGAUGGUUUUUCCGCUUUUCACAGCUGCUCUUUCCACACCUCCGGAUAUCUGGUGCCAAAUCGUCGCCCCUUUCCUUAUUUCUUUGAUGAUGGAGUUGGCUAUCUUUGUGGCAUCGAUUGUACAAGUUCGUUCAGAGGGCUGGACGAGUGGAAUGAGGUGGCUAUUUUUUUCCAUUAAUCAGUCCUCCGCCUAGAAAUUCACUUUGCGACUGAGGACGGCUCGAUCGAGAAAAAAGAAGAGGGGAACCUGGCAAAGUCAAAUCAAUAGAUUUCAGAGCAAUUAUCCACCAACAUAUGCUCUUCAUUCCCGUAAAGAUGAUAAGAGAGAGAGGACUCCUCCUUACCGCUACGUGGGGAGCGGGAUAAACAUCCCCCCCUAAAGCGCCGGUGAAGAAGGCGAGCAAGCAAAGCAGGAGCUCGGGCAUUCUUAUAUUCCAUCAAGAGAAAGGAGGCAGACUGUCAAUGAAAAGUAUCGCGAAAAGCUCAGCUUUGCGGAACGGACCACUCUCAAAUUCUUUGAGCCUUACUCUCUCUCUAGAAAAAAAGCCUGCGGGAAGCGCGAAGAGCUAAGCCACUAAUGUCGUGGCGAAGGUUAUACCUCAGAAAGUCAGCGAAGCCCACGUAGCGGUUGAGUAUGUCUUUCUUAUAUCCUUGAGAUCGAGCGAGAACUUCUAAGGAAGGCCUGAAUUCCCCUUUUCAAUCAGUAAAAAAAAGCGAGACUAAAAGAAGUUGCGCUUUCUUGAUUCUUAGUGCGAUCUAUUUUUGCCUAUGGGUUGGUCCUUCUAGAUCUCAUGGAAUAAGGCUUUGAACUCAAACGUUCAGCUAGCCCUAAAAAGAAGGCUACUCCUACCUGCUUUCAUAGAAAAAAAGAAUUGUGGAGAUUCAAUCCUCAUUACAUUACCGCAGGCCAAAAUUGGAUUUCUCAGAGCUCGAAAAAAAGAUGAUGAACAAAAUUCCCCGUCCUCCGUCGCAGGUUAAUAUGGGGAUAGUCCUUCGGACCUGUGACGCCUUCGGACCUGUCUUAUGGCACCGCGGAGUGGGCGCAAUAUUCUUUGCUUUCUCAAAUUGCAUUGAGCCUGAUUUUUCUUCUUCGCGCCUCCUACAAUAUCCCUGUCUUAUGGAGCCGGAGGACGGACCAAAAAAUAGGCGAAGCGAAUACUCGUGCAAGUGCAGAGGACAACAAGGAUUUAGUGGACGAGGUCCAACAACAACAAUCUAGUGGUUUUCUAUUAAAGGAAUAAAAAGAUAUCGGAAGAAGUACAUUGUUAUUGGAUCCGACCUAUCCACUUAACGACUAUCCACUAGAGAAGAAAUAAGCACACACCACCGCUCCGUGGGCAUUGCAUGCAUUUGCAUCUUGCAUAUAGUCCCGAAAUAGGAAAACCCGGUGGGAAGGAAGUAUUGCUUGCUACGGUCCAGGGAGCCGAGUCAGUCAUACCAUCCCCAAAACCCACCACCUGCAGCCGAGAGGGUAUACCAAAGUGGGAGUGCAUAGUACCGCUUGACCAGUCCUACGUCCUAGGGAUGAAGGGCUGGGAGGUCUAUUUUGAAGCCCCCAUUGCAGUGGGAACCUUAACUUGUCCUACUAGAGCUUAAAUUCAAUCAUGUAGUGGCCAUAGAACUACUUCACACCCAACCCAGUAGGAUGGACCUGAGCACUAAGCAAGACUUUUUUUAUAGGUUCUUUUUCUUUUUCACUUCAUUCCCCAUCCCGCAAGAAAGUUCCCCUUGAACCGUCCUGGGUCCGCCCAUCUCGCCGACUGGUUCGUGUAGCAGAAGUUAGACCCCCUUUUUCAGAAUCUCCCAUUGUAGCUACUAUGUCAGAUGAACCCGAAAUCCCGGUUCCGCCUGAACCAACCACUUUCGACAUUCUCAAGGCUGGCCCAAAAGGAAAGCUUUCACCGGGCCAUCAAUAAGUCAGCUCCUUCUAUCUACUGCACCUCAAGGACCUCCGGUUCAGGUCUUUGAUGAUUGUGACCAAUAUGCCUCAGACUCUCCCGACCCAGGACAGCCUUUUGAAUUUCACAGGCCACAGCCAGUCCUUCCUUCCCCUAAAGCCAGAACUGAAAUGGAAAAAUGGUUGAAAGAACAAGGCUCGAUGAAAUUGAGGAGGAAGAGUUUCAGAAAGUAAAGGGUCGUCAGACCAUGGGCUCAAGAUGAAGGGAUUUCCCAUUUUUCCUCUGGUUGAAUCUCCGUUCGACGAUGCCUGAGAUAGACAAAUAGGAUGGAACUGGCUGUCCUAAGACGCAUCUGCUGCUCUUUUUCUCAAAUGUAGGUUCUAUGAGGCUCACUCAAGAUGGCCAAAAUCUUUCCUAGAAUUCUUAGUGGGGCCACUGGGGUUCACACAGAUUGACAAAUCUACCCUGGAUGACAUCGCCAAUGUUGAAAGAAUAGCAAAUUCUAAGACCCCGAUUAAAGUAAGCAGAAGAGGCGCAAUUCCAUAUGCGACCAAAUUCAAGAUGAACGGAUUUCCUGGCUGUCAGACCAAAAGAAGAAAGCCUACCCCCAGAAAAGGAAAAAGAGAUGAUAAUGAUCAAUAAGAUGAGUAGGCAAUACCAUUACUAUAGAGAUUUCCAAGGGAUGAUUACUUAUGACUCUUUGAUUGAAGCGGCCACUCGUAUUUCAGAUGCUAUCUACAAUGGGACUCAUGGAUCACAGGUCAAAGAGGCAGAUCCAAAAGAAGAUAGCCGGGAACAAGCAAGAAGAGUUCAGUCAAUGUCUUGUCUGACGUAAAGCCAAAGACACCCAGGACUUUCACUCCCUUUUUCAGAACUCUCGCCGCGCCUUGGAAAAGCUGAAAAAGCAUGGUGUACUCACGCCUCUUCGCCCAUCUCCGCCACCAGAUCCGAUUCCCUCACUCAAUCUGACUCUGGAAGUUAUGCUGCCGAAGGAGAAUACUGAGAAAAAGCAAAUUCGGGGAAAGCUGACUCUUAGAGUUCCCUUUCUGCUUCUGAAAAAAUUGGGAAUUCCCUUGCUCCCUCAACUGGAAGAACCGACAGCUACUUCUUGUCGAGCUACUUUGUUCCACUCUCAAUUCAUUCAGCCUUCUCCUUAAUAAUUCCGGGGUUAGCUGUAGCUGGCCAUGUACCCUCUUUCAGUAUUGGGUGCCUUCUUUCCUGAGACUGAGAAUUCCGAUAAAGAGAUUCUCACUUAGUCGUAUCCAUAUUAAUAAUAGCUUUCUUCAGAAUUCCGACACAGAAAGAACAAAAGCUACUGCCACUUCCUCAACCGAUGAAGACCCAUCCAGUCAAUCCGGGAAAGAAGCUGUAGACCUAGGGUUAGCCGUUGAGAUCCUAAUUAAUAUAGUGAUUGCUUUCCCGCUAGUCCUGGGGAGCAUCUAUCCUAUCCUUUCCAGGUUCAACUGAGAAUGACCUUUCAGAUUCAAGAUCUAAUUACCUUGAUUCCGGAAGUCUGAUUGAUUCUUGAUGAGGCUUCGGAUUCAAUCUUCUUUUCACCUUUAUUACCUAGCUUACUCGAACUAAGUCCCAAUCCUCUUUUCCCAAAGUCAGUAGAAAAAUAAUCAAAGCAGAUCGAAUUGACAAGCCAAUGUACCGAAUCGCUGGAUCCGUUGAUAUUGAAUAGAUUCUUAUUAUCGACUCUUUCGGAGUGAAAAAGAGAAAAAAGACUGCAAAGGAAGAACCUACUAAAAGGACCUACGGUUGGUGCCUUGCCUCCAGUUCCUUUUAGUAGCUUUAGAUUCCUGUCGAGUUGAGUAAAAAACUAUCUUCUUUUUCAGGUAUUACUAGAUCAGAUAUAGAUAUUCUAAGAAAAGAACUCACUCUUCUUCGGAAAGGGGAGAAGAAAGGAGCUUUCUUUCAUAGUAGGGUUCACGAAGUCGAGAAAAAGGGCUUGACCCCCACGGAGCGGGAAAGGGGAAAAAGGCAUGUCAAACCCGCAGGUCGGAUUAUCGGAUGAAUAGUGGCACGGGUCGGCAUGGCAUCAGUUGUGAAGAUCAGCCUGAGCCACCUAGGGGAAUGAAGUUGAAGAAGUGGCGCACGUCCCCGUUGGUGUGGUUCUUGCUUGAUUUCAAAGCAAUUCUUUCUCAGAUUGUAUGAACGAGAAGAGAAGAAAUGGAUGAAAUAUCGUAACCAGCAACCGAGACUGGUGGGCGGCGCCUCUGCCUCCAAAGGCGGGUUAGGCUUCAACUUCUACUUCAACAGAAAGAGAGGGAAGAAAUCCUGCAACUUCAGCCGAUACUUCUGCUGGCACAACGACUGAUACUAGGCGGCUACUUCCGCUGAUCUCACAACGUCAGCCUCUGCUUCAACGGUUCUGAUCCCUAGUGAAGGGGCAAACUCAGACGCACGCUGCGACUCCCAAUUUAUGACUUUCCGUUGUUUAGGAAGGAAUCCGAGACUGGUAGAUCUUAUCACCGCUACGUGGGGAGCGCAAAACGUCAAGGGGUAUAUCUAGGUCUCGAUCACGUGGUUGAGGAGGCAGAAUAAGCCGAUGCUUCAGACGUCUCUCUUCUUCGAUCAGCACCACGUAGUGGGUCACGCCCCAAGGCCAAUAGAAGGCCUUUUAACGAGAAAGAAUGGGAUUAACAUUGACAUGUUUAAGUAAAAAAAACAAUGAAGAAGCCACGCGUCAGGCCAAUGCAUGAAUCAGGCAUGAGCAUACCGAAUCAGCAAGGACGGCUUCUACCGCCGCAGCUACAACAACCUUUCAUCCUAAACCUCCUCAAAUUCUUUGAGCCUCAACCGUUCGCUAAUCAGUCUGAGGAAUGCUAGUGGAGACAGGACGGGAGGGUAGUAGUAUGUAUGGUCGUACCGCGUAGUGGGCAUUCGUAUUUCAAGCAGUUAGGUUCUGCGCAAGUAACCCGACGGCGAGCUGCCUAAUCCAUCCUCAACCGCGUAGUGGGAGAAUUAACAGAGAAUGAAAGAGAGAAGAAUUUCUGAAAGAUUCCCGCGAAUGGCGAAAGAAAUAAGAAGAAAACAUCAGAUAUAAUGAGAAUGCAAUAAUCAGCUUAUAAUCAGAAAACCCACUGAAAAUGAAAAGCAGAGGACUAGGAGUCCGUAGUAGGACGUAGGAGUUCGAUUUGCGCUCCUUAACUGAAAGGACGUAGUAGGACUCCCGUAGUAGGCUGAAUGAAUAUGAGUUCCCGUAGGUUCUGCUGUAAGGCCUCCGGUUCCUUUAAGUAGGUUUAGUAGGUUCGUAGGUAUGUUGCCGCUCCGGUCCGAAGUAGCUUAAUUAGUAGGAGAUUCUUUUCAGUAGGUAAGUAGCAUUAUAUUAAGCUACGUAGGACGCGUAGUAGGCACGGAAUCAGACGUAGUAGGAGCGGUAAGACUCUUACAAACAUUACUAUGCCUUCUACGGACUCAAAAGGAGAGGUUUGAUUCCACUUUUCUUUUCAAAGACAUUCUUAGCAAAUAGAGUCCAAAACAAGGACCUACGGGACCCAAAAGUCAUAAAAAAGAGAUUUCCCCUUAGGUUCCAAUGCAAAACAAGGCGAAUUGGGGAGUUCAAAGAUUUGCCGAUGGAGGAUAUGCUGACGCCUAACUCGUUGAUGUAAGCGUCCUUGUGUCGGAAAUGAGAACGUCAUCGCCAAGGACCGCGUAGCGUCAGAGGUCAAUCUUCUACCACCAGGGUUUCUUGGUCCUCCUCGGUCCCCUUCAGACCGUGCCGCAGCUCUUUCAGCUUUAGUAGUUGUUCUGAGAUCGGAUCGAGGGUAGGGAAUUGCUCCUUAUAGAGCUAAAUACAGGCUGAUUUUUCUCUUCAUCCUCUUAAUGUCAAGUCUUUUCAUUGCCCCAUGCAGCCUUUCAUUUCCAUUCUGAUCUUGGGAAUGAAUUCGGUAAGGAAGUACGAUUAGCGGAAGGCCUAGAAGCGCAAGACUAUAGGACUUCCCCUAUCAGGCUUUCUGAUCGAUCGUCAGAAGUAUAUCUGUUGGCAGCACGUAAACGAGUUUCACGAGCCGUUGAAUGAGUCGGCUGGAAGUUGAGCAUUAAUGAAUUACGUUUUCCCUAGGCAAACUUCUUCCUUUGGACCUCUUUAUUCCAUUAACUUCAUAGCUCAGAUAACUGGGAAAUGACUUUCCCAAGUGGUCGAAACCCCCCACCCCAGUAUCGAAUUGACUCUGAAGCUAGGGAUUGACCGCGUAGUGGGUUAGGAAGGGUCAAAGAAAGCCGCUGCUCAACGAAGCCCAGGCCCCACCCAGGCGUCAGAGAGGAAGCGAACCCCACCUCUUUCCGGUGCUGGAUUAGGCCUCGUUGUUGUACCUGCUGUUGGAGUAGCUUGACUAGCGAUUCUUUGAUAUAUGGAUUAUUCGGCUUCAGCCGGGUCUGUCGCAGCCGAGGUUGAAGAAUAUAGGGUGAGGGCAUCGAUCCUAAGCCAACUCGGCCCGGCCGGUAUAUGAAUACCUAUCCAACUGGGUAUUCGGUAUAUUGAGCACCUUUCCAGGAGAUGAGUAGUCAUCCUAUACUAAAUCCUAAACUUAUCAUGACCCUUCUCUUUUCGAUCUGGCCCUAGUGCUAGCUUUCCCUUUUGCUUUGAGUACUUCUUCCUGUGCUCCGAAUCGUCCGAAGGACUCAUUUCCUUGCCGUAGGUGGUCUUCCGAAUCGUCUAAUAUGUCCUUAUCAAUGAGUCUGAAGACUCUGAAAACCGGAGGAGUAGUCUUCUUCCAUUGAAUCCAUAUCCGGAGAAGAAACCUCUUUGGUUGAGAAACUUAGUCCCACUUGUCCCGUUAUUUCCCUUUUGAAAGAGCUCCUUUUAUGGUGGUCAAGUUCGCUCCUUUCCCUUAUGUACGGUCAAGUGUAUGGGAAAGCUGCCUUCGCUCCUUUCCUUUCUCUCGUCAAACUCGAUAAAGCCACUUCGCUCCUUCCUUGUAAAUGAGAGGUCUUAAGUCAACUUGAUUACACGCUUUUCCGUGCUUUCUUUUUCUUGAAUCUCAGAGUUCAAGCUCAGCUAGGGUCCGAAGGACUUGUUUAUGGAACUGAAGCUUUGAAAGAGGAGAGAAAGAGAUUUUCUUUGAAAGAAGAAAAGCAACUCCAACAGCCUCAUCUCCAGCAACGAGAACAAAAACAACGACUUCCCAUGAAAGACAGCGGACUAGAGCGAGCGAAUACUAAACCCUUUCUUAUCUGACUGUGCCUGCUUACUGUGCUGGUCGAGCUUGUGCCGACUUUCUUCCUCGUCCCUCUUCUGUUGGGGCAGGGCGAAUACGGCCAAUAGGGUGUGAAGCUGCCCACUACGCGGUGGUUACAGGGGGAAGCAAACUCACCCUUCCACGAUCCCGACUAAAUAAAAAGGAAGAGGUUCUCUCGUUGAAGAAUCGGAACCGCUGUUCAAGAUUGCACAGUUCGAUAUAUGUUUAGGGAGAAAAGGGCAGCAAGAUCUUCACUGCUUAUUUACGAUAAUCUUUUUUCCUUCCUUAUUUUCCAAUAGGGACUCGGGACUCCUAAUCCUAGGCCUUGAUUCCAUUCCCCUUGGAGGAGAGGGAAAUAGGGACUAGAUCCCAGGGACAGGAUAAUCAGGACCUCCUUCUUCUUAGCAAAUGCUCCGAAUCUAGUAAUAUGGAAAGAAAAAGACUACUCCUACGGUUUUCAGAGUCCUUCGGUCUUCAGACUCCGACCGACUAAUUAAGCUACGGAGGACGAGUUUCCAUAUUAGCUUUCUUCAAUGACAUUGGAUUGAAACUCUUUUUCUUUUUUGAGGUAGCUUCUUCAAUUUCCUACAAAGAAUGUGAAGGACCGGUCGGUGGGGUUGAAUACCCUGGGUUUCACCUACGAGAAGGGAGCCCACGUAGGGGGAAAGAGAAGGAUGAAUGAAAGAGAUCAUUCGAUCCCGUUCGAACUUUCAAGAAUGAAGAAGUCAGAAAAAGAGAUAACUUGAACCUUUCACUUUUUACAAUGAACUCGGAAGAAAAAGAAGAGCAAGUUCUGUCAUUUCUUUCAUUCAUUCAAGUACAAUAGCCCUUUCGAGCAAUAUUCUUUGCACCUUUCAGAGUAUUGAGCGCUUAGAGCUCCCUUCACUGAUGGGUGGAGACAACUAGUAUUCUGGUCUCUGAAAAGUACUAUUCCGUAGAAUAGAGUGUAUUCGUUCAGCCUUCGCAAGGAUUCCCAUAUCUCUUUUGCCGAUCGAGACUCCCGCAUCGAAACCAGACUUUAGGAUUAGGAUUCCUCGAAAGAAGGGCGAGCGCUGGGCUUUGAGUGAUAUCAAGACUCUCGAAAAUUGAAUUCAGCCUCCUAACCCCGUGAAUUUUGAAUCUUUCUUUUGAUUUGGAAGAGGUACCCUUCAGAGUCGAUUCAACUAUAGCAAGCUUAUUCAAGGAUUCCCAUAGGAAGACUCGUUCGCUUUAAAGCACUUAAAGGAAGGAAGGCAAUUCAAAGAAUAGGAAAGAAGCGGGCACGGUAGAUCCGCUCAUCCUGGCUUCAAAUCCUAGCUUGAGUUGCCACGGGAACCGCGUAGUGGGCUGAAGUUAGGGAGAAUGCACAAUCACAAUUGACUAGGGCCUAUGCGGAAUGGAAUCAUGUCAAAUCGGCGUUAUGAAUCAUAAAGGUAACUCAAAGGGGAAUCAAGGGGCUCAAUAGGCUCUGUCUUUCGGCCGAGUCUCGGGGGAGUAUUUGGACCGUGAACAGAGGGUCAAAGAAUAUUGACUGGAGUUCACUUAGGGGAACAUCUCUUUUUUGAGUAUUAUCUCUUGCAGUAGCUCUUCGUGUUGACUACCACCAGUGCUUGUUUAAGCUGUAGCCCUUUUGGCUUGAGGUGCGAAUGAAGAUGUUGGAAGUCGCUUUCUUUCAAAGCUCUUAUUCUUUGAAUGAAUCUAGGAUGAACAAGUAGGAUGAAUAAGAGAAAUCCGUACAAGAAGGAAGGGACAAAGGCCCCAGGCACGAGGCAUCAUCGUAUAAUAGAAAAGGGACAAAGUCCCACCAUAAGGACGCCCCACCCGCGUAGUGGGAAGAGGCGCCCACUCGACUAAGCUAAGAAGGAGAGGCCUAGAGGAAGACUUUUGACGGUAAAGAAGAAAAUGGACUCAGGAGGCAAGGAGAAUCCAAUACACACUCUCAAAAGGAGGGAUCUCCUAGGCUUUACUUGGACGUCCCAGUACUUCUGCUUUCAGUUCUUCUUGUGGCUGUAUUAAAUUAAAGAAGAAGGAUCUCUUUCGACUUCUAAGUAUGAAGCAGCUUUUGCUUGACCGAGGUGUUCACGAAGCAAGAUCCCUUUCAUUAUCUGAAGUUGACUAGGGCCCACGGAGCGGGAAUACCGGUACCCCCAAGGGAAAGAUCUCACUCAGUCCAGGAGGAAGAGGCAUAGUUUAGUGUUGAGGUUUGUUCAUUCUUGACAUAUUUCAUUCAUCUGCAGAAGUAGAAAAGCAGAAGUAGACAAAAGAAAUAAUGGGAUCACUCGCAGGAAGAAAAGAAGGUUGGCGGGAGGUCUGAAAUUGAGGCCUUUCCUUUCGAACUCACCCAUGCGUGGCGAAUGAGAUAAUCGGCGGCUCAUUUACUGGGCGAAAGAUGUCUUUCUACCCUUGAAUCUCGUUCAAAGCAUUUUGUCGUAGAAAGACGAUGAUCGGACAAGAAAAGCUACUUUAUCUCCUUCAACCAUUUAUGCAAGAGCCACUUUCUAUUCCACUGGGCGGGUGUCUCGCAUUUCAUGGGGGUUCCUCCUCUAGAUUUUAUGGAUUCUGUCUCGCUACUCACUUCCCUUCCUUUAGCGUGUCCAGCCUGUAGACCUCGUUUUGGGAAGGGGCGGUUCUCAUUCUCUUACCAGGAGAUUCAACCUAUAAAAGGCUCAAAGAAUAUUGAGAGUGCAAAAUAAUGGAUUUCUAGUCUGGAAAAAAGGCCUACUUUUCUGGUUCAUUCAUUAUCUCAAGAAUUAUCGAAGAAGAAUUGAAUUUUGAUCUUUGAUUUAGUGGAAUUAAUGGAAAGCCUAUCCAAGAUCAUCCCCAUAUUCAUUAGGCGAAGGACUCUGAAAUCGGACAGGUCUCGCUAUGGAAUAACCUUGCCUCCGGUCCCUGGGAAAGAGAAUAGCCAUUUUGCACUUUUGGCUAUCCUUUUCUUUAUAUAAAGCAGCAAGAUAUAGGGUUGAGUCAAAAAAGGACUAUUAUCAUAAUCUAAUCCAGAGAAAAUGGAAGACUGAGCUCGACCCUUAAAGGUAAAAAAGGUUUGGUCCUUCGGACAGGUUUUGUCAAUAUUCUUUUCACUCAUUGACUCGUCUGAAGUUCAUUCAGAAAAAUCAAGCUAAGAGUCCUCCGGACUAUCUAUCCAUAUUAACCUAGCCUUCGGACCAGUCAGAAGUCAGAAAUCCAUAUUCACUUCUUGGACUUAUUUAUUCCAUUCAUUUUCUUCCUUAACUUACUUGCUGCUUAUUCUGUUAGGUCUUCUAUUCAAUUGAAUAAGAGUCACUGAACUCGGGGAAAGGGUUUCAGGUGGAAAGAGUACAAGUCUUUCAGCCGUGGGUUGGUCUACAACCUCUGACGCUCGAGCGUGAACGAUCUUGGUCUUGGGUCGAGCGUACGUCUUCUUUCCUUUCUGCCUCUGCGCUUAUUGCUUCCCCUCGUGGGAGAGUUUAGUGCCUGCCUUCUUUCUACCUUUUCUUGUCCCGCUUAGUUUCACUUAAAUAGGAAGGGGUCUUUCUUCGAUCUUUCCCUAAUAGUCAGAUUCAGGUCUACAUAGUCAGACUGAGUUUCAUGAGUCAGAUUCAAUAGCUGGAUUCGGGAUUCACUCCCAACUGGCAUUGAAUUCGGUCGGAAGGGGGAACUCAUUUGAUUAGGGUAGCUUGAAGGAGACGGUCUCGGAUAUGCUUUCCCUAGUUUAGAGGUUAGAACUAGAAGAAUAGGUUUCAUUCUCAAAGACUGAUUCCCUUCAUUCAUCACAGUUCCAAGGGAAUGAAUUGAAUAAGAGUUCGAGUCGGAUCGAUAAGAAGAAGAAGAAAUCCCGUACGGGAACAAGAGGUAACGAAUUCUCAUGAGCCCGCUGCCGCUCCAACCAGUAAAGAAGAGAUCCAUGCUACAGAAGUGCUUUCAUUCGUAUCACGCUUUUUCCUGUGAUAAUGGAAGUUGCCGAAUCCAUCCCCAAAGAGUCUUCUUUCUUUCUACAUCACAUAAAUAGACAUCUUUCGACCAGUCACCUGGACCUUUCUUUCAAGAUUUGUGGCCCCACUCCUAGGUUAGGCCGACGGAGAUCGUUAGGAGAUACCCGAUCUGAUCGAACCGCUACGUGGGCGAGAGCAUCUUCAAGAGACCGCCGGUCCUAUGCCUCCACGGGGACAGAGUCUGAUGAAAGGGCAACUGAGACUGGUCCCUUCCCCACAGGAGAAUUUGCACGUCAAUAUUCUUUGACCCUCGUCACUUUGAAAGUCAAAUCCCUCUCCCUACGGUCUCGCUAUUUCAUCCCUCUCCCUCUACACCGCUACGUGGGAAGUCUCGUAUUCUAGCUUGCUUCUAGAACUCGGAAAGAUAUCAUACUAACAGAUAACCCCUACUUUCUCCUCUCCUUAUGUGACUAAUACAGUGGCUCAGUCUACAGCGUAUCAUCUUUCAGGGGAAAAGUGGAAUGGCAAUAACUAUUUCUCAUGGUCUCAGUCAGUGAAGAUGGUCCUUGAAGGACGGCAUAAAUUUUCCUUUCUGACAGGGGAAAUACCUCGCCCUCCACCGGGCGACCCACAGGAACGAUACUGGAAGGCAGAGGACUCUAUUCUUCGAUCCAUAUUGAUCAAGAGUAUGGAACCCCAGAUUGGCAAGCCCUUACUCUUUGCUGCAACAGCCAAAGAUAUUUGGGACACGGCCCAGACACUUUACUCCAAACGUCAGAAUGCCUCUCGCCUAUACACGCUGAGGAAGCAGGUUCAUGAAUGCAAGCAAGGAAGCAUGGAUGUCACAUCCUUUUUUAAUAAGCUUUCUCUUAUCUGGCAGGAAAUGGACCUAUGCAGAGAACUAGUCUGGAGUCAUCCCAGUGAUGGUUUGCAGUACUCUAGAAUUUCAGAGAUUGACAGUUUCUUGCUGGUCUUAAUCCUAAGUUUGAUGUAGUUCGAGGGCGUAUGUGAGUGAGUCUGCUGGACCUUCUCAACCACCUGAUUCACACGGGAACCAGAUCGAUCCCAGUCCCGCUACUUUAGGUGCCAUUGUCCAAUCAGGUAUACCUCAGUCCUUCGGUCUUAUUAGUGUUGAUGGGAAGAACCCCUGGAUUCUGGAUUCUGGCGCCACGGAAAACUUUUUCGCAAAUUCUUUGCUCCUAGCGUCUGCUAGAAAAUAUGCUGAAUACUUGCGCUCCUUUCUUCUUUUCUUAGAUAAAUGCGCCUCAAAUUCUUGGAGCCUCUCCCUAUGGUCGUCCGGAGGUUCUUCCUUCCAUAUGGAUGGUCCUACGGAUAAAUCACCUGGACCUUUCUUUGGCCCUGCGGACUGCGGACCCUGGACCUUUCUUUGGCACUGCGGACGUAGGACGUAGGACUGGAAGGAGCGAAGCAAAGAGCGCGAGACUAGAGAGGAGCCCUUAUAUUAUGAAAUUCAAUAACUCGACUCCAAACAAAAGGAGAGGUUCAAAGCUCAUUGAAUAAAGACUUAUUCUUCCAAUGUGAAGGAGUGCAUUAUGUGCAAAUGGUGUUUAUGAGUCCUCCGGACGACUCAAAACAUAAAGGAUCAAAGAAUGAAAGAAGAAUUUGAAAGCGAAAGUAAUUAUCCUUCAAAGGAGUGCAACGAAAGAAAUCCAUAUUAACAUUAGGCCGGUCGACUCAUAGGUUGAAAGAGUGGGUGGUGCUCCGUCUUUAUGAUUCGGCUUUUUAUGCCUCCGCUCAAGACUCACACUCCUUGGCGAACUGGAACGGAGUUGGAAAAGUCAAAAGCCUUUCUUUAUCUGUCCUCCGGACUAUCCAUAUUCAGGAGCGGAAUCAAGAAUAGACCCGUCAGUAUCCGGACCAUAAACUCAAACUAGAACUGAUCCAUGUGAAUUUCUGGGAUAGGCUUGAUUCUUUCAUUGCGUUUUCCCGGCUUUUUUGCUUCUAAAUAGGACUAAAUCAAAGAUUGAUAUUUAACGAAAAUUGUCGAAAAAAGAAGGAAUUUUCAUGAUUUCUUGCUACUUUAUAGGCCCAAAACCUAGCAAAAUCUUGUAUUUCCCUCCGCGGAUUCAUCUUCAAUCUAGCUCUGAAAUCUAGCAGAUUCAUAAUGAUUCUUUCAUUCUCGUUAUUCAAUCAGAAUUCUUCUUUCAUUAUCGUUAAUGAACUGAUUAAGAAGAAUCCACAAAUGUCUAAUCUUGAAGAGCGAAAUCAAUGUCUUCUUUUUCAUGACUGCCAUAUUCUUUUCAGCUCUCCUUAUCAGUCCGGAGGACUAUCCAUUAGAAGCGCCUAGCAUUUUCUGGGAUUGAACUCCCUCGAUCAAAGUAAUAGCUAUGAAUAGUCCAGAGGCUCAAAGAAGAUUUCGACGGAGCAAAGUUGGAUAUUAUUGGAAUAACUCCUAUCGGAGGGCUCAAGACGAGAAAAGAAUUAUCUCAAGAGAAGCUCGACAAGGGCAUGUCUCAUCACCCCAUUAAUAAAGUAGCGUCCACUAAGAAGAGAGGAGGUGCAGUUAUCAAUCUCAUCGCUUACCAACAUGUCUAAGCGGGACCAGGCCCACAAAGAAGAGAGUAGGAAUUCGUUGCUAGUAGGGAAAAUCUGAUCUUUUCUUAAGGGGACUCUACUAAGGAGGACUCUUUCCCGACCCCUAUUGUACUUGUACGAGCAGCUGCCGACCGAGUGAUGCUCCGAUUUCUCUUAUUGCUUGAGGCUAGGGUCUGGGUCUUUGAUCAGUCUGAUUCUGAAAUUCUGAAAUACUGGUAUACCCUCAUAACGAGUCAGAAUACCUAUCCAGAGUCAACUAAGUCAGAAAGGGCACGGUCUUCAGCCGACCCCACAUCAGGUUCAGGGGAAGGGGCUGUAUUGGUAUUCUCUCUUUCCGAGCGAGGAGUUGAGGACCUCAGAUGGAAUAAGAACAGGCCUUGUCAGAAUACCAGUUUCAUAGGCUUUCCAACCAUCGUGGAAAUCUUCGCUUUUGGAAUGAAGAUGGAUCCGGUCGAGGAAUUCGGUUCGGCAGUUGGACAGGAAGUUGCAGUCUUUGUGGUCCUCCCUUGAAUCUCUUGAAUCCGUACGAUUAAACUUGGGCACGCCGAGAAAGAUCGGAAGACCUUCGUUAUAUCUCAUUUAUGAUCAAAUAACUCAAUCAAAGAUUCCAGAUAGAAUCCCAUAAUCCCAUGAAAUAAGGAAAUAGGCCCUGUCUCAGUCCCGCUACGUGGGGGUUGGAUUCCUUCUUUCUUGGAAAGUCUGCUUAUCUUUCUUCUGAAUUCACUCUUUCAUGAUUGAUGAAAGGGGAUCCCAUUUACCGCACGUAAAAGAAAAUAGAGGCAAAUAACCUAGGCUUUCUCUUUCCGACUACAAUAUCCCUGUCUUAUGGCACCGCUCCGUGGUCCUCCGGCGCAAUGAAAUAUGCGACUUUGCGCCUUCGGACGGACGGAAGGAAAGAGCUACCUUUACCGCGUAGUGGGAUCAUUUCUGAAAGACUGCAAAGUCUUUUUCAAUGGAGCUUCAGUCUCUGAUUUAGUAGACGAGAGGUGGUUCACCCGAUAAAGGCACAGGGGACGAUCGGAACCCGUCGGCGAAGAACAAGAGUCAGGCAGUACUAUGAGCGUAAGAAGAAAAUGAGUGAAGGUUGGGAGUGGGUCUCAUGAAGUAGGGUUCAGAGUAUUCAAGAUCCCUUCUUCGGUAUCUUUCCUCAGAUCUACAGACCAAGGCCGUCGGCUAGGCCUUUCACGCGAUUAACUGGGAUAAACUUAGGCAUCUGAUUACAAGAAAAGGAUAAAGACAGAAAGAAGGACUGAUUUUAGCCUCAGAUCUCAUUAUCCAUCCCAUGGAUUCAACCCCGCAAACUGCAGGUCGAAAGGAAAGGGCCUUAUUGUACAUCUUUCACGCUCCAUCCCUCCUCCCGACCUUGUUUUCUUCUCGCGUGAGUCCGCCUUGUUUCACUAUUUCCUUUUGUACGAAGAGCUUUCUAGAAAGAUGUAAUUCAUUCACCUAGCCCUGUGCCUCCAAAGGCGGCCCACUACGCGGUUCAAAUCUCUCUUCCAAAGGCGGAUGAGGCAGCAAGAAGUACUUCAAAGAACAGAUCUUUCUACUUCUCCAGCACCUCACCUCUCCAAAGAAAGCGAUUCACACCUUUCCCACUCGGAUCGGAAUCCACCAUUAGCGCGGUUCGGGGGACGGGGCGGUGGGUACAGGCCAUGAGCAGUCCCAAUAUUCCUUCCUGAGCCUCCGGACCUUAGCCUUAUUCAUUCGGCUUCGUAUGAUCUCUUUCCCGAGUUGACUCGGAAUCAGAAUCGAAUUCCCAGUGGUGCUCAGCGAGCUAUUGAACUAACUAUUCCCAAUGAGAAUAUCUUGAAAGAAAGAAUAUCAGAAAGAUUCCCCGAAACCACAAUAAAUCAAUAUCGUCAAAUCGAGUAAGAAAACAGGACAUUACACCCAGCCUCCAGCUUCUUAUCUGACUUUUCUUUUGAGUCUUCUGCCUCCGAUAUUAAUGUUUGUAAUAGUCUUUGUUCAUUGAUUGCGCGUAGAAGGAGUUGUCUUUCUUUGACAUAGUUUUUGACUAUCAGAAAAUUGAAUGAUUAUAAGAGUCUUUUAAAAAGGCUACGGACAGCUGGACACUCUUUUCAUUCCUUUCUAAUGUUUUGAAUCUAAAUAAUGAAAUUGCCGAUUGUAAUCUUUUUAAUAGUCUAUCUAAAUCCUAAAAUAGGUUGCUUAAAGCUGCAGACUUCGGACCAUCUUGAUUCUUCACUCUAUAAAAUGCGUAGGACGAACUCCUCUUUCGGAGUUUAUUCCUUUAAGUAGUCUCUUCUUUUAAUGCUUCGCCCCUCUCUAUCUCUGCGGACGAGGAUUGCAGAACAAGGCGCGAUAUCAAGAGGAUGAAUUCUAUCCGAAGAGCCGGAGUCAAGCAUGAACAAGGUCCCUCGGGACAGGAGGUUCAAAGAAGAUUUCAUUGUCUUUCCGUCGGCCUGAGUUAGGAGCAAAGAAUAUGGAUCAGACUAUUAAGGAGCGCAAAUCGACUCCUACGCCUAUCUUAAUGAUGACGAAAGACUAUCCAAAACAAAUGUAUGGCAACUCAUAUUGCAUUCAGCCUCCGGACUCCUACGCGGCAACUAACCUACGGCAAGGCGCGGAGCGAAGCGCAUUUAGAAGAGAAAACGAGUCAAGAGGACGGAGCGCAACUCAUAUUGCAUUCAGCCUAGUCCUACGCGGCUGGAUCGAAAGGUUGAGUAAAGCUCAAGCUAGAACGUAGAUAGGCUAUGGAUCGAAGCAGCCAGCGGCCGGGCCGAGUCUCAUGAAGAAGAUUGAGUAUGAGUACGAUAUUCUUUCUUAUGCUAAUUCUGAAAUAAGGGAGAGAUGUCCAAUAAUCUCCGUUGAUCGAGAACGAGAACCAUAUAUGCGCCUCCUAUGAGGCUCCCAGUACGCCGCCUUCCCAGUAUCGUAGGCAGACGAGAGGGCUCCCCGUUUAGGAUGCUACAGAAGUCAAAAGAGGAGAUGACGAGGUAAGCAGUCGCAGUUCAACUUGCCGAAGUUCUUGUCCCCCCAGUAGUGCCUGGUGUUGACGCUGUCGUGGCUUAGUUUAACCCGCUAAGAUCUUCAUGCCUUCGGUACUCCCAUACCGUAAGUGGCUUUAUUUAUCACCAAGUCGAGAUUCAUACUAUACAGAAAAUGGAGAUUCAAGGGAUGAUGGUCCAACUCGCCUCUCUCCAAAGCCCUUUCACCCUAGCUUUUAUCAUUCCUUUUUAGUUAUCUCUCAGAGAUGUUCACUCUUAAAUAGCAGAAAUAGCGGACAAACUGAUCUUGCUGUCUCGCGCAGGAUCUUCCUAUUCUUAGAGUACGGAUUCAAGCGAUCUAGCUACAGAGUAUGAGACUGAUUCCUCUAGCUUCUCCUGUCAAGCAGAAAGAACUCGGGCGAGCUGACUCAUACGAAGAAGAUCAAAGCCUUUCCGCGGAUGACGCCUCUUUACGAGCCGCGCUUCUAUACUUUCUAGUCUUUCAGUUAGAUCGAGCCUGCCGUCCAAGAGGUUCAAAGAAUAUUGACAUAUUUCAUGAAUCAAAAUCAGGCAAUGGAAGGUGCAAAGAAUAUUGCGAAGACCGCUCCAACUAACCUCUGCGGUCAGUCCUUCGGACCUGUCUUAUGGCACCUACGCAGCUUAAUAUGUGAGCGGUAAAAAGGACCUCGGGUCCAGGUGACCGGUCGAGUCAAUGAACAAGGUUCAAAGAAUAUUGAAUGAGACUGGAAAGGCUAGGUUAGAUGAUCCCCAGGACGAGAAUCAAGCUCAAGCAAUAAGUAUUCUCAGUUCCAGGUGUGAGACCUAGAAAACUCGGUCCUAGUUUACUCGGUUGAAUCAGUCAAAGUAUUUCAGAAGUUGAAUGAGAAUCAAGACAAAGCUCGAAAAGUCAAUAUAUCGUUGACGAGUGGGUUGGGGUAUUCAAUAUACUGAGUUGGCUAGGAGAGGGGAAUGAUAGAUUGAGCGAGACCAUUCGCUAGGGAAGACUGAAUUGAAUUCAGCCUUCGUCCGCAAUAAGAAGGCGGAGGCUGGGUCGGCCCACUACGCGGUUGAGUACGAAGGGGAAUUCCCUGCAGAGGUUUCGGAUCUUGGAAUCAGUACGAAGUCUCACCUCUAACUCUUAUCUUGAGAAGGAAAAGGGAGCGGUUAGAAUAGAAUAUAAAGACUGAUAAGGAAGGAGAGAAGACCGGCGGAUCUCUUUCUCUCUUUAGUAAUAGAAUCAAGGAGAAUGAAAAGUCUGAUUUCUCAUUAAUUCUCUUCUCUCUUUCCCGAGUUCUUGAAUGAGAAAGAUCAAGAGUCAUGAGAGUUGUCCGAGCUCCUCUCCCGGAUUGAGUUGCGGACAGGUAACUGAAAUAGAAAUAAGUACUAGCCUCCAGCGCUCACUAGAAAGUAGGGUUCAGAGCGAAGUGACCAUAUCGGUGAGGGCAUUGUCUAAAGUGCUCUUUCAUAUCAUAAGAGUACGAAAAGAAAGGAUCGGGAGAGAGAGAGGUGCCAGGUUCGGUUAAUUACGGAAAGUCCUCCUUCCAUAUGGAUAGUCCUCCGUUUUAGAGUCCUUCCUUCCAUAUGGAUGGUCCUACUUCGGUUAAUUACGGAUGGUCCUACGGAUAAAUCCUGCGGACUCCGGACCCUGGACCUUUGUUUGAUGGAUAAAUACAGGAUCAAGUGCUUUCACCGCUACGCUUCUGCUACUCCGAAAGAAAGGCUCCAGUCCGGAGGACAGGUCCGAAGGCUAGGUUCAUACGGAUAGUCCUCCGGACGGGGGAACCGUAGGCGCAAAGAAUAUUGCGGCUCUUUCCGCUCUCUUUCAUGUUCGGAUAAAUAAAUAGAGGGUAGUUGGUAGUUUACGGCUGUCCGCUACGCUGGAGCUACGGAGAAAGAAAGGAUAAAUAGAAAGUUUCCGCUCCUUCUAGUGGACCUUUAGAGUCCUUCGGACGUCCUCCGGACUAUCCAUAUUAACCUUUGGUCCAGGCGCAGGCGCAAAGAAAGAAGCUCAUUAACGAGAAUGAAAGCAGAAUGAACUCAUUAACGAGAAUGAAAGGCGGUGCUGUAGGCGCUGCAUCCCAAACCUGAAGGCGCACGUUGGCAGGGAAGAUGAGCUACGCAUUGAGAUAGUUUUUCCAAUCGAGCUCAGUACCGUAAAGCCUAGAUUCCCGGAGGGGGCGGACUUAUUGAAAAAGGGGGAAUGAGAGGGAUAUGCUAGUUUUUAUAGGGGGGUAGUGGUCCCUAUAACUGAGCAGUCCCUCAAGCCGAAGACGAUACCUAUAUCCAUACCGCGGAAAACAAGACAUCAGCAGGGGUAGGGUCCAUAGAACAGCCGUCAUGGCUGGAGGUGCCCGACGCCUCUUGGUUUGGAGGGGCUGAGGCCUCUGGGAUCCUCGUCACAAUUUCAAGGACAAUUACAGGAUAACCUGUAGAGAACAGAAAGAAUGAACUUGCGUGCUUCAGAUAGACAGAAGCAAUGACUUCUCCGGCCCCCAUUCGGAGGGGUCUCCGCUGAAGAACAAUGCCAGCGGGGGCCUUUAUGAUGACGGGCUUCUUUCUCUUUCUGAUCUUAUAUUUCGGAGUCGACAUUCUGGCAACUACUUCUGUGAUGUUCCUUCCAUGGAGGAAUUAGAGGUAGCUCUUCGUUCCCUACGGGAGUUUCUGACUGACUGAUUUCUUAUAGUAUAGGGACUCCUGAGGCUGAAGAACCAUUCCAGCGGGGGCCUUUGGGACUAUGAGGCUGAAGAACCAUUCCAGCGGGGGCCCUUAGGACUAUGAUUGAUCUUCGAUUUCGAUUUCUUUAUGAUCGGACGGGGAUAGUAGAUACUGCUAGUGGGACUACCCUCCGGUGCUUUCGGGCAUCGGUCCGGUAGUCAUCCACACGCGCGCAAGGGAGUUCUUUUCCUAUAUCAUACCUUGUUUUCAGUGGGAGGUUCAAAGAAUAUUGACGAGGGGAUUUACUCGCCGUGGAGUGGAUAGGGGCGUGGGGAAAGGAGAGGGAAAGUCUCGAUAAUUAGGUUAGAGGUCGGGGCAUUCAGGCAUCAUUCGGUCAUUGUUCGGAGAGGGGGGGGGACGGUCUAGAGUAAUUGAGUCUUCCACUAAAGGGUAAAGAGCUACAUCCCAAUCCAGAAAGGGGAAAGUCAAGAGUUCCUUGGUUCCAUCCCAAUCCCCAGAGAAAGGGGAAAGAGUUACCUCUGGGAUUCAUGGAUUCAUGGAUGAAGGGGGAAAGGGGAAACCCGGUCCAUCAAAGGGAAAGAGUGGACUCUCUUGAUCCGAUCCAAUGUGCCUGCCUUCUCAUCUCAAUCUCAAGCCGGAAAAGAAAGAACAAGGAAAGGGUCUCUCUUCGGCCGGGCCGCGUGCGGGCCGCCCUUCCACGUCCACUUCUCAUGCCACAGGUACAGGGACGGACGGACCGGAGGGAGAUUCCAGUGACCCAGGUGACCUUCACCGGCUGCUAUACUAAGUUGACUGAGGCUCCGAGGCUCUCACUCCGACUUCCUAAUCAUCCCAUCCUAUUUCAGAAUGAACUCUCCCGACGAACCGCACUCAGAUGGGGCGGCUACUUCUUCUUCCUAAACUGGUGCUACUUCCUAAACAAGGGAAAGAGCCUACUAAACAGUGGCUGGCUGGCGGCUUCCCUCCCUAUGACCCGUGUGGGCGGCCUUCCUUCCUAAACUGCCUUCCUUCCUAAACCCUAAACAGUGGAUAGAGCAUUCCCUCCUAAACAGUAGUCGGAUCGAGAUGGAUGCUCCCGCCGGGAGCCUCUUCCCUCUGACCCGUGGGAUUGACCUGACUUGACUUCCCCUUCUUCCCCUUCUCGUUCUUCCUCUCUUUUCUUUUGGGAGUUUGUCCCGCGUGCACGAGCCCUUUUCUGGGACUUUUUCCAGAGCAUGAUUGGAGGAGCGGAGCUUCUUUCCUUAUUUUCGUUUUCAUCCCUCUAUCUCCUUCAAAGAAAGAUCUUCGUAGAACCUUUUCGAUUCCCUAUUCCGGACUCCUAAAAGACUCAAGAUUCCGAGGAAGAACUAAUCAGGAAGAUAGGAAGAAGAACUCAAAGAGCAGCUCAUGAAAGAGAGAGAGUUGGAUUCAGCCUAUCCCUGGGACAGGGGCGGCUAUCUUGUGCGUGCACUGGAGACCCAAGACCAAGAGGUUGGAAUUUCUUCCUUAUUAGCGGAUUUGAGCUAUCGGGAACUAUACCGCGUAGUGAGGAGGUGACUCGACCCUGUAUGGCUAGCAUUCUCAAGGGGUAGAUCAGCGGGAACCCAACCCCUACUUUCUUGAUCAGGGAGUCUCCAAACCAAAAGGGGAUUCAUUCUGCCUUCCCGAAAUCUUCUUAUUUGACUGCUUGGAUACGAUUUGCCAUCACUCCUGAAACCCAUGAAAAGUGCAGUCUAAUCAAUAUAGAAAGAAUUCUCGCAAUAUUCUUUGCGCCUUCUACGCUCUCCAUGGGCUCGCUUUCUUUGGAUGGACGGAGGAUCAAAGAAAGCCAGAUUGACUGGUCCGAAGGACUAUCCAUCAGGGAGGAGUGGAAGACAGAGCGGGAAGAAUGGAUAUUGUAGACCGCGGGAGGGGGAUGAAAAAGAAAGCUAUGCGAGAGUAGGUAGGGUCGGGAAUGAGCUAUGAGGCAAAUAGCCUCUAACCUACUAACAAGAAAAGCAAGUUCAAAUAAAUGAAAUGGGCCGGACUCAGAAAUCCAUAUUAAUCUGUGGUUUUAGUGGAAUUCAUGAGUUUCGGAGGUUCCGGAGGCCGUCGGACCAAAGAAAAAGAAAGAAUGUCUCAAUAUCCUUUGAGCCUCCGGAGGAGCAAGGAAUAGUAAGGACUUUAUCAAGCUUAACUUCUUUCAACUUCUUUCUUUCUUUGCGCCUUGCUUUCGUUUCAACUGAAAGGCUCCAUUGAUGGGGUACGAGAACAGAAUGAAAGAAAACCGCUCUAGCGGACACUGCAACGGAUAAGGAAAGAGGGACAGCUACCUGAUCUCAUAUUCAACCCUUCUUCAAUCUCAAACUAGGGAAAUCGGCUUAGCUGCCUAUAGGCAUGCUUCUCUCUCCUCGUCAGUCUCAACUUCUUAGUCGUUCACUCUACGGUCUCGUUCUAUCCGCGAUCCUCCUUAUUCUGAAGAGAAAGCUGCAUUCGUAUCUAUUACAAUAGAAUAUAGAAUAAUGUCUUUACUGGAACAAGAACAACCAGGAGGAGUGACUCAUGAAAGAAGACUGAUCAGAAUUCCCGAUCGAACAAGAGAUGACGCAUCUGACAGUCGAGCCUAUCGGAGAAAGGAUGGUGCAUCGCCUAUUUCUCGUUCUCGCUCUCCUAUUCGGCAACUUAUGACUGAAACUUCUGUGAGUCCGCCUCUUUCUUUUCAUUCUGAUUGACGAAAUGGCACAACGGAUCCUGAUACGGGGAAACUUCCUUCUUCCGAUUGAAAGAGAGAGCUUCCUGGGCUGGGCUUUUGACUUCGCCCUCCUGCUGAGACCCUUCAUGCCAGUAUAUAUCUUGCACCUCCGCCCCAAGGAAAGGGGUCUUUGACCACCCGAGGUUGUGGCAUCCGCUCUUUUGUCGAAGUGGCAGCAGAAGUUCAAGGUUUAGCUGCAGCUUUAGUAGAUCGCCUCAUCGCCUAACUCUGCAUUCUUUGACUUUGUGACACCACUCUUUUCUUUCUAAGAGGUGGAAUAGGUUCUUUGAAAGAAUAAAGCUCCAGAUGAGGCGCAAUGAAAUAUGCGAGGUCGCAAGUCAAAUUCUCUAAUGGAUAGGCCUUGCGACGGAGCAGACCGCUUUCAUGAAAUAUUCUUUGAACCCGCGGGAGAAGAUUCAUUAAUAGAAGGGUAGGCUCGUGGCUGGGGAAAAUAGGAUGAAUGAAAUAUGAGAGAGUGAGGGUCAAUAUUGACCUUUGGAGAAGUUGAGGAAUGCAUUCUCAGUUAUAGGGCUCGAACAGAGGGACGAAUCGCCCAUUCCCUAACUUCUUUUCCGUAGGUUGUCCAAGAUUCAAUCAAAGGAGAGAGAGAGUUUACUUAGUGAGGUUGAGGGACACGCGUCUCAAGCCAUAGAUCACCCGUGUGAAGAGGGAGAGUAAUCAGCCUCAGCUUGCGAAUAGGAUGAAUUAGGCGCUGGACGCUGAAGGGCGCUGUUCUUGAAACCUUUCUGUCUUUUUAGCCCACGGUUUUUUUGACUUGACUAUUAUUUACUCUGCGGUUGGGUUGAGAAAUUGAGUAUAUGAGUGAAUAGACUUUGAGUCUGAGAUCGAUCGUAUGUAUCGCGCGUCAUCGUCUCACGCCUGAAUCCGGGGAUGAAUGAAAAUAGAGUUCAAGGUCAAAAUGCCAUAAGGCAAAUUGCUCAAGGGGAACUGAAACUUGAUUAUUCCUCUUCGAGUCUAGGCUUUCUUUUAGGAGCCUCUAAAUAGUAGGAAAGUUCAGUCAGGAGACCUCGGUGUGAGCCACUUUAGAAGUUGGAUAGAAUCUGAAAAAAGAAGGAAGAACCGAAAGCGAAGCGACUGAUCGAUGAACAUCCAUAAAUAAAUAGGCAGAAUUUGAGAAGCGAAGGUUCAGCUUCAUUCAGACGACCUAUCCUCGAUUAGGAGGUUCAAAGAAUUUGAGAAGAAUUUGAGGACUCCCAAAGAGAACUCCCCAAGACCAGCAUUCUUGGAUCUCUCAUAAGGCCCACGUAGCGGGAAAGGCGCCUCAAUCCAAUCACUCUAUGGAGGCAAGCACGCUGCGAGAGCCAAGCCAGUCUCCCCUUUCAUUUCUUGCUCCAGGAAUGCUCGAAAGGGAAGUUGCCGAUCUUCCUCCUCUUUCUUCAGUUCUAGGUCUUGUAGCCCACUCUGCGGUCGUUCUACCAGUGCUGCUUGCCCUUUCAGUUCUUCUUUCUGUGUCGGAUGCCUCAUCUCUUGACCAAGGCCCCUAAUAACGAGAUUGACUGGUCAGUUAGAUACUCCUUUCUAUAAUAGACUUCUUCCACCUUCCCCUUAUUCAUUGAUUCGUUAACGAAGGCAAAAGGCUCGACUAAAGCAGAAUCCGUACCAGGGAAGUCCCAUCCGAUUAGUGGAAUCGGGAUCAGUUCUUCGUGAGAUCGUCGUAGGCCUUCUCUAUUUCUCUUUUCACCCAAGCAGAAUGACCGAGGGUAGCAGCAGCUGAGUGAACACGAGGCCAUUCUACGGAGAGAAUGAGAAUUCCUUCUUUGGUCCUGGAUUCUUCUUUCUCUAUUUCCCGUAAGACCAAAAUGCAAUGAAUAGAAAGGUUAAUAUGGAUAUAAGUUAAGCUUGUAGAUUUCAGACUCCUGAGGACGGGUCUCAUCACCCCAUUAAAAGUCCACUAAUAUUAACUUCCUUUUUCUCUCAACAAUAUCCCGCACCUCGUUUUUGGAAAAUAUGAUUCAUACUUGCACUCAUUCCGAUAAUUCUUUGAGCCCUCCCCCAGUGCAAAGAAUAUUGCGAAGACCGCUCCGAAGGAGUCUUAUGAAACCUGGACCCUUCUUUUUAAAGAAGAAGGACUAUCCAUUAGAAGGGCCUCAGUCCUAUCCAUAUUAACCUAGCAUCUGGACCCCUUAUAAUUGGGCCACGAUCUUUGCGCCUCCUUCGGAGUGAUCCUUUCGCUCAAUAUCCUUUGAGCCUAACGUCUGCAAUCAGUCUUUAAUAGAAUUAUGACUUCGCAAUAUUCUUUGCGGAAGAUUUUCUCUCCGCAAUAUUCCCUAAUGGAUAGUCCUUCGGACCUGUCUCGCAAUAUCCUUUGCGCCUCGCAAUAUGCGCCUCUUUUAUCCAAAAUAUUAGUUCCAUUAACAAGUCAUCUAGCCCUUUGUUUUUGGGGUAGAGUCCUUCGCUCUUUAGUUCCCGCAAUAUUCUCCUUCUACGCGGUUCAAAGAAGAUUUCAGUCCGGAGGCUCCAUAAGACAGGGAUAUUGUAAGGACAUUCUUUCUUUUUGAAAAAGAAGAGAAAAGAACUCCGUAGGAGCGGUCCAAAAUAGAAGUCCUUAUCUCUCUAGUAAUGCUGAAGUUUCUUCCUUUACCGCGGAGUGGGCUUCCUUUAAUUUAAGUAGGUUUCUUUGACCCGACCUCUUCUUUUGAAGCCUUUUGACUACCGGUACCGGCAUUUUACUCUCAGGAGGUUUUGCCAGGGUUUGACUCGAGCUAGAUUCCGAUCCUAAACCUCUCCUUAUUUCAUUCCUCUCCUCAAGCGAGUCGAGCUACUUUCUUUCUAAAAAAGAGCUACUUUAUGCAUUAUUCAUUCGGUCGCUACUUCUGACUCCGGUACUCCGGUCGAGCCACUUCGCCCCGAUACUCUACUCUGACUCUACCCUAUUGAACCGAAGGAGUUGGUUGGAGAUCCGCACCCUCCAUUUCGACUAUCUUACCUAUAGUUCAAACCGCCUCAAUGAACAAGGGGGAAUUUCUUAUGAGAACUGGAAGUCUCGUCAAUAUUCUUUGAACCUUCGUCUCGUCUUGCAUUUCAACCUCUUCUUAUGAGAAGACGGUCACGCUCUUUCGAUCUUCUGGUAGUCUAUAUUGAAUAACCUAUGAGCCGCAUCUUAUCUUAGCAGCUAACCCACGGAGCGGUAUCUCGGGCCUAGCUUAAUAAUAGGAAUCACUCAUAUUGCAUUGAGCCUAAUUAUAAGGGGUCCAGGUGACUAUCCAUUAGAACUUUGAACCUUCGGACCGGUCUAAUUCCGAAAGAUCUAAAUCAGGUCUAUCUCAGUAACCCUUCAGCCUCAGCACAACUAAGCAAGAAGAACAAGCGGGAACAAGGACGGCAACCUCAACAGCGGGCGGAGCCGCAACCCGACCCGGGACAAGAUCUGAGGCUAGAUCUACCUCGUAACCCCUUCCGAUUCCUUCUUCUUUGAGUUGACUGAGAAUACCGCUUUGAAAGCCACGGAUCUAGUAGCGGGACUGAUUCCAUUCCCUUGCAUACGUCUUCCUCUUGUUGGACAGCUACUUUCUUCCUGGGCGCCUACUAAGAUCAGGUUGAAUCAGAGCCCAUAAUAUAAGGAUAGGAGGUAAAGGAAGAAAGAGAAAGCAAUCGCCGACCGCUCCGAAGGAGUCUUACCAGUCCUGAUCCUGAAAUUUGAAUAACCCGCACCUGCCUCAAAUUCUCAAUAUGAAAAUAGUGGACUUGAAUGGGGUGAUGAGACCCUUCCCUUCGGACGGAGUGAAAAGAAAGUGAAAUAUUCUUUCGAUCAUUCUUUGAGCGAGCUAUAGAAGGCGCAAUGCAAUUAUAAGGGAUCCAGAUGAGGAGCAAAGAUCAUUGAUAAGGAAGAUUAGAAGCAAAAGUUCGGUUCUUCAUCCUGCUCAGAUUUUCGGUGAAUCUUUGCUACGUGGGAACUAGAACCGCGGAAGAAAAACAAGGGUCUAUAUGAACUAUCCGUCCGAAGGCGCAAAGAAUAUUGCGGAGUAAAUAGUGGUCCUCCGGACUACAGGUUAAUAUGGAAAGUCCUUGCACUCCUUUCUUCUUUUCUUAGAUAAAUGCGCUUCGUAGAUUAUGCUGAAGGAGGAGGACCCAUCAAAAGUGAAUAUGGUAGAUUUCAGAGUCCCGCAACAAGAGUAAUUUAGUUGGACUUCUUCAUCUCAAAUACUUUGAGCCUUUGUUUUCUAAGUCAAAGAUGGAACUAGAAGAAUAUUGACGAAUGUUCAAAGUCCGGAGGACCUCUUUGAUCCACUAAGUCAAAGGAUGAAAGUCUAAAAAGAAGAAAAGAGAACUACUCCGCGGAGGUCCGGAGGACUCAUUCAUUCCACUCAAACUUAUGGCCUACGUAGUCGUCCUACGUAGCUUAAUAUACUUCCGACUAUCCGAUGAUGAAAGUGGAAUAAAGAAAGCCUAUCCAACAACAAGAAACUUCAGGAUUCAAGGAAGAUAGGCUUGAUGAUAAAUAGUAGAAUAAGAGGAUAUAAGAAGGUUCAAGGCAUAGGAAGAAGAAGAAGAAAGCCCACCUUCCAAUUAGUGGGCUUACUAGUAAUGCUGAAGUUUCCGCGGAGCUUCUUUGCGGAGCCAUAGGCUAAUAGUCCUUUUUUUAGGUUCUGGAUAGGCUUUCGUAUUUAUUUUAGGCUAAGAUGAUCAUUCUUCAUUCUUCGACAUGACUUCGGAAACAGAAAAACAAAAGAAAGGGCCAAAAGUUACUAAAUUUCAGAUUCUCGUAUUACUGAUGAAGAAAUGUCUAUAUUCUCCAUUAUAUACUCUAUUCUGAUAGUUUGAAGCUAGUUCCGAGAUCUUCUUGUUCUCAAGAGGUUUGUACUAACCAUACGUUUACCAGCCUUAAUAAAGUAAAGGCUUCUUGGGGCCUUCGAAAGAUGAGAACUCAAAGAUCGAGAUAGAAAGCUUAAAGAACUACCAUGAUAGCUUGAACUUUCUGUCUUCCUUCUUCUUCGACAAAGCUUUUUGAUACUCUGCCUAUCCCAGAAAUAUGAAGGAUGCCUUGCUUCGCGGGCGCCUAUAUAAGGGCCACUCGGGGCCUCGCUCUAUUGGGCGCUGGGUUUUCGAAUCAAAACCUUCUGAGAGAUAGACAAAGCUUAAACUACCGAUAUUAUGACUCUGACUUCGUUAUAUCGAUGAGAAUGAGUUCCGCUCUUCGAGCCCUCAUCUUCCGCCUUUGUUUUUCUUCUAUCUCGUUCGUAAACUUCUUUAUUUCACGACUCAAUGUAAUUGUAAUUGAUCCGAUCUCCUAGGAGAAAGUUCAGUCAGGUUUAAGAAGAGGAAGGAAUAAUAGUAUUCAUGUUUUCAUAGAAAGGAAUAAAAGGUCAAUGGAAGUCCUCCUCCGGAGCCUACUACGUCCUUACUAAUAAUGCUGAAGGUUCCUCCGGACGGGAAAGUUACCCCUUGUUCAUUGAGGCCCAGUCCGAAUGGAAGAAAAAGUCAAAAGUCUAUCCGCUACUUUCAUCCGUCCGAAGUCCUCCGGACUAUCCAUUAGGUCCAUUGAAUUUAGCGGUCGGACGGGUCACCUGGACCCUUGUUUAUCCACAGGUUAAUAUGGAUAGUCCUCCGGACGGACCAAAAAAUACAUCAAAAUAGAAGUUGCGCUUUCUUCUUAGUAGGUUUAAAGUGCAAGCGGUGUCAAAUCAAAUCAUCAUACUAUUUGACUCUCUUUCACAGAUAUUCUUCUUUACAGGUACAAUCAAUACAUUAUAGGUAAUAGCUUUCUCUCUUUUUCUACUACGGUCGAGCAGCGGAUGCGAGUCAAAUCAAAUGAGAAGGCGAAGAUUAGAGCUCAAUUACGGAUAACCUCUUCCGAGACGGAAACUCUGAUUGCACUUGUUUUCAUUUCUUUGACGGGGGAGCCUCUGUUUUGACUCAUGAAGUGACUCAAGCGGACCUCUCAGAAAACCGUACUUUUGUUUUCGCGCUUUAGGGGCUAGUCCCAUUCUGAUCAUACUCACACGGAUUCUUGCACGGGGCCGAGUGUUGGGGACUUUGUCGUCUACGAGCGGGUAUUCUAUCUAGGUCUCGCUAUUUCAUCCAUUCCUUCUCGUUCGUAACCUAGGAGUGGGUCUCGCUUUUGAUCUCGACUUCGUGAACUACGUCUCCUCAAUUACGCCUAGCCUUCUCGUGAGAACAAUUACAGACUCAUUAAGUGAGAAUGAAAAUCAAAGAAGAAUAGGAAUAGUUUGAAACUGAAUCAAAACCUACUGAAAGAUCGAAUGAGCACUGUGAAAGUAUGACUCUUGCUUCUUUUUGCAGUCUUUCUUCGGAGUGAUAGUACUUUGGUAGAUAGAAAAUGGAAAGUCUAACUUGAAGCUCUUCUUCUUUCCUUUCCUCUGCCAGACGUUUACCAGCCGACUACAAGGCUCUUCCCUACACGAGAUGAAGAACAAGUCAGCAGAAAGAGCUAGAACUACCAGUUCAGAACUGAUGAUUUUUCUCAAUGAAAUAGAUCAUGAAACUGCUCUUUUUGAGUCCUCCUUUGGACUUCUCCUUUCUCGUCUUAUUCCUUGCCGCUCCUCCGCAAUAUUCUUUGCACCUCUCUCGUCUUCUUCCGUCCUUUUGAUAGGCUUUCCUGAAAUGACUGAACUUUCUAUUCAUGUUCCUGCUUUAUCCCCCCUAUCUUUUAUGGCGGUUCCACUUUCUAUUUGGCUUAGGAGAAUCCUUGAUCCGGCUAGCGAGAUGGGAUGAUUGACCUUCUGAUGUCCCCUGUUGCAGGAGUCUAAGCAGGAGAAUGAAGAUCUUGCCGCUUUUGAGACAGGCUCGGGUCAGAGGUCAGAACAAGAGGAAGAGACCGCUCAUACGAGUCUGAGGCAGGCAGCUAAAUCCCACCAGCGGCUGAUUUCUUCAUUUUCUCUCUCUAUCUUGCAGGGACUAGGGAAGAAUCUAAGGCUCUUUAUCAUUUGAUUGAGACUAAAGGGGUCGGCAGAUGAGAUGCCCUUGUUCAUUGAGGCGGUUAUGGAGGAAGUUGCAGUUGGUCUUGCAACUAGAUCGAUCGCUCGGUAAGCACCGCGUAGGAAAGGCCAAGGAAAGACGAAAGGAGCCCUUGGGAAAGGAAAGUUGGAGUCAAACCGCUCUAGGAGAGAAAGUCAGUCGCAGAGGUUGUGCCAUCCUCUUGUUCUUCGCUCUAGUUCUUCUUGUUGAAGCUUUCCUUUCAGACUCUUCGCCUCGUCCGUUGUAUGCUCUUGCAACUGGAUUGAUUUAGUAGACAUUGGCCAGAGUUUUUCUCUGGGGAAGGCAUGGGAAAGAAAAUCAGUGUCUCCUCUGGUUAUAGAACCUUCGAUCAAUCAACAAAAUAAAAGGAAGCAGAUGAGGUCUUGCGUCUUUUCCCAAAGUCAUUAAUCAAAAAAGCAGAUCGAAUCUUUAUACAAAUUGAAUACAAAUUUGAGACUCUUCUUCAUGAUACUCAACCCCCAAAAAGUGAUUCGCCGACUUUAGCUCGCCUAAGCCUGGUUAAUAGAGCAUUGUCGGCGAAUCCGUACUUCUACUCCUUUUUUCAAGAUUGAACUAGGAAAGAAAGAACAAGUCUGUGUUAAGCUUAAGCAGGAGGUGCAAAGAAUAUUUCGUGGAAGAGGAAGGAAAGAAAGAAAGGUAUACAUUACAAGAAGAGAGAAGAGGAAGGAAAGCCUACUUAAACCUACUAUCAAUGAACCGCAAUAUUCUUUGCGCCUCCCAGUCUCCUAAUGGAUAGUCCUACUUCGGUUAAUUACGGAUGGUCCUACGGAUAAAUCCUCCGGACUCCUUCCCUCCAUAUGGAUGGUCCUACGGAUAAAUCCUCCGGACUCCGGAUAAAUCCUGCGGACUGCGGACUCCGGACGUAGGACCUGUCUUUAUCAGGAGCGUAGCGAACAGCCGUCAACUACUUGAUAGUUAUCCUAUCUUUCUCCUACGCGGAAUCCAGAAUAGACCUCUCUUUCUCCGGAAAAGAAACUCAAACAAGAAUCAAACUAUGUGAAUUUCUUAUCCCUUUCCUAGGAGUUCUUCUUUCAUUGCGUUUUCCCGGCUUUUUUGCUUCUAAAUAGGACUUUUUCUCAUAUUUCUAUUUCACGAAAAUAGAUCAAAAAUGACUGAUUUUUCAUGAUUUCUUUCUACUAUUUCUUUUCAGCUCUCCUUAUCAGUCGAGCCCAAAACCUAGCAUUUCCCUCCGCGGAUUCAUCUGAAAUCUAGCAGAUUCAUAAUGAUUCUUUCAUUCGAGUUAUGAAAUCAUAAUGAUUCUUUCAUUAUCGUUAAUGAGCUUCUUUCAUUAUCGUUAAUGAGCUUCUUUCAUUAUCGUUAAUGAGCUUCUUUCAUUAUCGUUAAUGAGUGAAUUCUGCUUUUCUUGACUUUUGUGCCAGUCCGAAGGACUAUCCAUAUUCUAUUCUUUGCGCAUCUGCGUCCUUCUUUUUCGCAACGCAUAUUGAAUUGCGCCUUUUAUCUCUUUCUUCUUAAUAGACCAAAUCGAUGAAAUAGACCAAAUCGAUGAAAAGAAGGAGAAUUUGUCGGAAAUGGCCGGGAUAGCUCAGUUGGUAGAGCAGAGGACUGAAAAUCCUCGUGUCACCAGUUCAAAUCUGGUUUUCUCGGCACAUCAUGAAUUUGUAUGAGUAUCUAUUCUACGGAUUCAUUAAUAAUAUAGAUCAUUCAAGGAUACAUCAUCUUUGACCCUCAAGACUCAACAAUAUCCCCCAACUACGUUGCCUCAGUCGCAGCAAACAAAAAGAAAGCGGAAAUCCCCUAAUGGAUAGUCCUUCGGACCUGUCUUAUGGCGCCUGAUUUUUCUUCUUCGGGCCUUCGUAGCUUAAUAAUGCCCACGGAGCGGGAGGGGUCACUUAUCGGUAUUUCUACUCCAAAUAAAGGAUAGUAUUUCAGGCAGGGAUUCGUCAGAAUCCGCUCAUAGUCGGCCGAAAAUGCAAGCACAUAAAAGAAAGCGGAAAUCUGAGCAAUAUUCUUAGCGCCUUGUCCAAGUCCUCUAAGUUGGAGUAGAACCUUAAGGCCAUUACGCGCUUCCCCCAGGGCCUUUCGUCGGUGGUGAAGGUAGAUGGAAUACGGUUGCCCAUCAAUGGGAACAUUCGCCUUUUUUAGAAAAGUCCGUUCAUACUUCCCAUCCAACCUGCACUCCUGCCCAUCCAGUAGGGUUAGUAGGGUCUAGCUCCCCAACUUCAGAAUCGUAUUGGUUCUGGUUCUUGUCCUCCAUUCACUCAUCGAGGACCCAGAGGUCAAAGUAGUCAUGGGCUCCAGAGUAGUCGUUCCUCCUUUGUCCCUAGGCUUGAUCUUCUUCUUGCCUCAAACCCCCCUUUUUCAACAGACUCAUUAGAAGCGUCUUUUGUGUACUCGGGGGGCCGUAGACAAAGAGCUGUCUGCUUUUUAUGGGCCGCUCGAAGACAAGGUUGGUUGCGAUCCAAUCCAGCAGGAGGUACUUCUCCUGCAAUUCCUCUGCAGUGUACUCGUGGGGCCACCCUCUCUCCUCGAGAAAGGUUACCAUUUUCGAAUAUGGGGACGCCUCCUGCAGCUUCAGGCGCUGUGAAUCUUCCCAAAGGUUGAUCACAGUAUUGUAUUUGGUCAAGAGCAGAUCCGCUAGCUCGCUUUCACGAGGCAGGAAGUUUUCACAAGCAUCUAUCUUUCGUAAAAUCCUCUUUGUACGCUCGCGCUUGUACACCAUGCUAAUAAGGGUCCCCUUCCUGUGGUUUGCCACAGCUUCGGCUUCCAUGAGUAUCUCCUCAGAACUUUGCAUAAGGUUUCUUGUCUUGCUUUAUGACAUAGACACAUAGGCUACCCCAAGCCUUAUUCAAGGACACCUUGCAUUGUCUUCCCUCCCUGGAAGGCUUCCCUUAUUCUAUUUGUUGCCUUGUUCUUUGAUGCAUUCUCGUUCUGAAUGGCAAUAUGAGAAUUUCCUCGUCCUUCUGCCUUUCCUCCGCAAUCACUAUAGAAGUGCAUCGGACAUAAUAUCUAAGCCCUCACCCGACUUUCCAUUUCCUCCUUCUUUAUGUCCUUUCUUUUACUGGGACAGAGUGAUAAGAAUGAACCUUCUUAGUUGACUCGACGAAGGUCCUAAUGCUUUCCCACUAGUGCUAGUAUCGGUCAUACGCUUAAUCUUAAGAUUUCAGAAAAAGAAAUGAAAAUGAUAAGAUAAGCCAAACUCGGAAAUCAGAGUCCUCCUUCUUCUCUUUUCUUUGGUACUGGUGUGCCCCGUAAGGGCACGCUCGGCUCGGUCUCUUUCUGGAGUGGAGAGGGAAUACUUCCAGCAUCUAGCAUCAUCGAGUUUCUCUCUCUUUUACAAUCAAACUAGAUAAGGCCCUCGGCAAGUCCUAGCUCCCCCGAGGAAGUCAACCAAAUUCCAUAUUCUAACCCAGAAAAAUGGGACUCAAUGGGUAGCAAUUGUCCUUAACCCAGGAGUAUUAAGACCGGAGCGGUAUGAUUUGAAUCAGUACGAGAAGAAAGUCAAUGAACAAGGCUCAAAGUCGCAUAUUUCAUUGCGCCGGAGGACCACUUCGGUGUCCAAGCUUGCGGCACCGGUAUGCAGCCCUCUCACUUGCCUUAGUUUCUAGUUCAAAGAGAGUUCUACGCCCUCGCGUGCAGCCUUCUCGUCUUCAGCAUUGAAUAGAAAUAUUAAGGGUGCCUCAUGCGAUAGGCUGGAUUCAAUUUCGUUGCCAAAAGGCCUUGAACGAGGAAUCAUGGGAUAUGUCUGAUUUCGACCAGGAAAUAGAGAAAUCGGCCUUACCAUGAUAUUCAAGACCAUUUUUCUAGAGCUCAACCGGAACUAGAAGACGAAGAAGCCACGGUCCCCCACUGGGAUACUUCUUUGAUGUACCAAAAACCCUUGUUAAGGCCUCGCUCGAUUCGCACUUUCAACCCAACUCCCUCUUUUUUUUAUGAGUCCUAGCAGAGGACAGAUUCUGCGCUUGAUCUUUGCACGUCGACAGCUUAUCCCACCUCAUUUGGAGUUUGGCUCCUGGAUAGCUACUUGGUCUCGGUAAGACGGGAAGGUAUUUGUACGAAACCCUUGUCUGAAACAUAUGCAAACCUCUCUUUAUCUACCUUGCCCACUACGCGGUAAGGGAAAUUCAGAGAAGAAGACAAAGAGAUCUGAGUCACAACUGCUCAAGUAAUAUUGGUUCUCUUUUGCUUUCUCAAAAGGGCUCUCAUCCGUCUAUCCCCUGCGCUCUCUGACUCUGAUUUGGAAUACUCUUUCAAUAGGAUAAAAAGUCAUGAAAUUAGGUUCAAAGAAGAUUUGCGCUCUGGUGCGAAGCCCACCGCUACAGGAGGACCUCUUUCAUCCCUUGAAGUUCCCGAAUUACUUACGAGGUCAAAUCUCUUUUUCUUAGGGGUGGUUUCAGUGGGGGGAGAUCAAAAUCACUGUAUUUUCACGAAUCCGCGAUCCCUAGAUCCGAUCGAUCGAAGCACGGAUUCAAGCUCUCUAUAUAAAUCUAGAAUAUAGACGAUAAGACGAUUCGGUCCUUUUGACUCGUUCAUUCCAUAUUACGGCGAUUCCCCGCAUUACUAGAUUCAAGGCACCAAGGCUCAAAGAAUGAUCGAAGAAUGAACUCAUUAACGAGAAAAGUCAAAGAGAAGGUUUGAAUCUGAUACGAGAAUCACCUUGAUAAAGAGGUUUGAUUCUACGAAAGAUUACUGACUAUAAACAGGAGACCAAUCACAUUUGAGCUACUCUAUCCCGUAGAAAGAUCACUGAAAAGAACCUUGAAAGAGAGAAUCACCUUUUAGGUUUGAAUCUGAUACAAGGAAAGGGAAAGAUUACAGACUAUAAACAGAAUCUAAGGUUUCAUUCUCAAUUUCACUCUAUAACGAUAAAAGAGUCAAUCAAAUGGAAGAGAACUAAGAAGAAUAUAAGGUUUCAUUCUCAAUUUCACUCUAUAACUAGGGAAAGAGAAAAGAUAGGAUAAGAAAGAAAGAAAAUCCUCUGGAUUACCAGCUCCCCCCGUGAUGAUUGGUUCGAUCCUAAGCGAAAGGUUUACCGCUAGGCGAACUAGCAUCAGGCCGUAAGCCUUGGUAAGCUAAGGGGGAGCCUUCUAAAAAAAGAAUUAGAAGAUAGUUACCGAAAAAAGGAAAGUGAAGUAGAUUGAAUGACCUGAAAGACAGCUACCUGGUCUCACUUAACGAAGGGGAGGAAUGAAUGGAGUGAGGAGUAUGCACGGAUUUAUUGACCUACUAGCAGGACUGGCUGGCCCAACGUAAUAGAAUAGAAGUCCUUCUCCCUUCCAACCAGUACACAUUCCCUGACGGGAAUACAUGGUCUAAACCUAGGCUCUCAACCCUCGGCCCUCAACCCAAUACUCACUCUCCCGAUUGACUAAGACACCCCCCCUGGAGAAUAUGGUGUAGGUGGAAUAGGCGGACAUAGAAUACGGGCACAUACUCUGACCCCUCCUUGAAGUAGGAAUUCGACCAAGGCAAGGCUAUCCGGGAUGCUAAACCAUGUGUACUGCAGCCCCCAUCCAAGGACCAAUUUCUUAUUACGUUGGAAUGCAAAAAGAAAGAAGUCUGGGGCGGAUCCCCUUUUGACUUUUCGAGUUCGGUCUUAUUAGUAAGGCAAGCCAAUUCUUUCUAGUCCCUUGCCCAGCUGGCCGAGCUACCAUGCCUUCUCCUUGAGAGAUGGAGAUUGUUCCCACUCUGGUCUAAAAAAAAAAGACUACUAUAGAGUGAGUCUACAGAAAUCUCUUAUAAACUGUACUAGUGAUAUAUUUCAUUCAAGAGAGGAGGAUAGCAAGGCAUCCUUAGGACUCCUACCCGUUGAGAGACCUAUGUGAUCUUCUUGGGUCGCUUCACUCUGUCCUAUUGAGGGAAAAUCCUAUUAUCUUCUCUUUAGUACCAGUCCAGUCCGCUUUAGAAAGUCACCGAUGACUGAAAUCUAUCAAUACUGCACAAAGACUAAGAUUUUUCUUUCAUAAACCAAGAGCCAGAGCAGGUUUCCCAUCCCACUACCCGUGCUGCUACCUUCAACCGGCCAGAUCUACUGAAUCAACAGAGUCGACUAGAUCGAGAUCAUAAUCAGAGAAUUGACUCUGAAUCCCUAUCACGAUCACCAAAUUCAAGAUAAUUUCCAUGGUCCAACUUAGAUAAGAAGGACUAUUUCAUGAUGCCCAUCACCCUUUGGUGGCUGGCCCGUCGGUCCUAAUCUCCUUCCCACAUAUUAAGCUGCGAACAUUCUAAUGGCGCAAAGAGCGGAACCGAAAAUCUCUCAAUUCAUUCAGCCUUCUCCUUAAUAUUAGGAGCAGCAGCAAAAAGAAAGGUCUAGAUUUUCUGACUCAUCUGGACUUGAGAAAACCAAAAUCAUAGUAUGAAUCUUUGAAUAGACCUUCCGCGGUUUAAGACUCCUUUCCUUUAAGUUAGGCUCAAUGAAAUUUGAGUCAAGAUGCGCCAUAAGACAGGCGCAAAGAAUAUUGACGAAAAGAAAAUCAGAAUGAACUCAUUAACGAGAAUGAAAGAAGCUAAAAAUGAAUCUGCUAGAUUUCAGACGGAGUGAAUUCCUAGGUUUUGCCCAUAGGGAAGUAGCAAGAAAAGACAAAAAAUCAGUCAUUUUUAGACAAUUAUCGUCAAAUAUCAAGAUUAACAAAAGUCACAUUUAGAAGCAAAAAAGCCGGGAAAUUGCAAUUCAAGAAGAACUCCUAUCCCAGAAAUUCACAUAGUUUGAUUCUUGUUUGAGUUUAUGGUCCGGAGAAAGAGAGGUAUAUUCUUUAUUUCCCUCCACGAAGGACUAGUCUGAAAUCUAGCUCUUCAAUCUAGCAGAUUCAUAAUGAUUCUUUCAUUCUCGUUAUUCAAUCAGAAUUCUUCUUUCAUUCUCGUUAAUGAGUUCAUUCUUCUUUUCUUGACUUUUGUGCCAGUCCGAAGGACUAUCCAUCAGGGAGAAGCGAAGCGCAUUCAAAUUCUUUUCACCUCCAGAAGAAGGCUCAGAAGGGCCUCCGUAGUCCGCUCCCUUUCGUCCAAUGUCUGUGAUCAAGUAAUACCAGAUUGGUAUUCACGGGUCGAGUUGCCCUCUCUCUUGGUCUGCCCUGUGCUAGCCGAGGCAGGAAGCUAGUCAAGGCAUUUAUCCGCCAGCUUCAAGCGAAAGAAGAAGAUCGAAAUCUAGAAAGAAAGCGGAUUCGCCUUCGUUACUGAAGACCUUGUGAUUGGCUUUUGGACAGAACCGAUGCUCAUCAAUUAGCUAUGUUCGCAACAUCUUCUUUCUCACAGCCUGCUUACUGAGGAAAGCCUGGUUGGUCCUACUAUUUUUUCUAGGGAUCACUAACAAGAGAAAGAAGGCAUCUUGGCUGAAUUUGGGGAGUGAGGCAUGGGAAUACGCUCUUUCAUGCCCUAUCAAAAAAGAUCAAGAAAUUCAUAAACUAUAUUUUUCAAAUAGCUAUUCAAGCCUUUCCUCCUGAAUUUGUCUUUCAGGAUAGGGUCCUUCUUAUCUGCCCAGUACUCGCAACCUAGGACCGCUAGAAAAGCCCAAGGAAGCUAGGUGGCAAGCUUUUCUACGUGAAUCACUAGUAGAAAGAAGAUAGAUCCACACCAUAAAUUGAGUAGGAAGAGUCUUCUGCCACAUCUGAACUUGACUGAAAGCAGGAAGUAGACCAGCCGAGCCGUCUUCAGCCUUUCUGAGUAGGAAGUGAGCUUCAAUAUUCUUUUCACCUCUUGCUUUCUUCUUUGCUUGACUUCUAGACAUUAGCAAGAAAGAAGUUGAUCCUAUCAAUCUCGAUUCAAAAGCAACUACUUCCCUACAUCCAUCCAUCCCGGCUUUCAAGCAUUGAAGGAUUCCUGCCCUCUUGUACCGCUACGUGGGUGACUCAUUAUGUAAACAAGACCUUUUUUUUCUACUUUUUCAGGUGUCGAGCCUCAAAUUCUUUGACCAUCAGACGGCUCUUUCCGUAACUCCUCCCCCGAGAACUGAAUACCCAUUGACUUUGAGCUUUGUCUUUCUUCUGAGUGAGAAUAGUACUUAUUCUUUACAGAGAAUUCUAACUCUUCCGAAAGAGCACCUAUGAAACUUAGCCCGAUUCCUAUUGCUUCUGAGAAUCGUACUGAUCCUACUUCUUCCCUUGGAAACUGGGACUGAUUGAAUACCGCCUCAAUUCCCCAUUACGCGCUUUUGGCCCUAGGCGAGAUGGAAGAAUGAUCUGUCUUUUUAGUCUCUUUGACUAAAGCUCUCCCAAAUAGGACGAAAGGUGGUAACAACCUUGUCUCGACGACGGAACCUUGUCUCGUGGAAGUUGAUGACUGAAAUCGGCAGCUCGACCUGAUUGGGCCUAAACUAAAGAAGGAGAUCUUUCGUAAGCGAGAUCGGCAGAUGCCCACGUAGCGCUUUCAUGGGCCCCCGAGCGGUAGGACGAACUCCUAAUUCUCUCUUGAUCAAGGGAAGAUGAAGAAUGCAGACGACUCGCCCGCUUAUUUCAAUACAAGUAGGACGAGACUACCCCUCCUGUCUCCACUAAAAAGUCCGGCUACUCUCAUGUAGAGUGGAAAGGCAGGGAGCGGGCAUCCGACCUCGUCUAUAUAUAGAUGAUCGGUGAUCAGCUUCACACACCUCUGAAUAAGGAAGGACACCUUUGACAGUAUCGUCCGACCCGGGAAUGAUCCGGUACAUUAAGAAAAUAUAAGGAGUGCUCCCAGAGAGUGAGCCCUUGACUCUCCUUGAUUCCCUUUAUACUGGACGGUGACCUAUCCCACCUCGCAGGGCACUACAGGCUCUAUUUGGCAUUGAGAAGAGUGAAAGAGAUAGAUUAAGCUGAAACUACCGCUACGUGGGACGAGAACUCUUUGAAUAAGUAAUUCUGAGUUAGGAUAUUCCAGAUAUAUAUGCAAAAAUGGAGUGGAGAUCACUGGGACCUCUUCGGAUCCCUACAUACUUCUUCUAGCUUUGGUUUCAGGGACGGAUUCCUUUACUGGGGAGCUAGCCUAUAAAACUGAACCCUCUCCUCUGAUCGAAGAGUUGCGUGGAUGGAUCGCUGUGAUAAGACUGAAAAUCACCGUAAAAAAGAGACUAAAAGGACAUAUGUAAAUUCAGAAAUCCGCCCUUUCAGAUCUCACCAUGGAUGAAACCCUCCUUUGCAAGACACUCAGGAAAGAAAAAAGUCUAAUUCGUCCGAGGCCUAGCCGAAAUCAAAGACAAGAAUCAGUUAAUAUGGAUAAAGAAGAUUGAGUUCCCUCAAAUUCUUUGAGCCUUCGUCUGUAGCUUUAAGCAACCUACGGCAAGGCGCGAAGCGAAGAAGGAAGACAAAGAAAAGACAACUCAAGAGGCGCAAAGAGCGAGGAGCAAAGAAUAUUUUCGUAGCCAAAAGGGCAGAGCUUGGGGAUAACUGACUCGAUCAGCAUUUUUCCGUAUUUUUGAGGGAAAGAUAGGGAAACUUCCACAUCACAUCUUUAUCCCUUGAUCAAUUCCUCCAUCCCAAGCUCUUAAGCUAUAGUACUUUCUGACCUAUUAAGAAUUUGGAAGUCGAUUCAAAGAUUCAAAGCAAAGGUUCGCUCCUGCUGAAAAAGCUUAGUAAGCCGGGCUUCGAAAAAGAGCUCUCGAAUCGGACUAAAAGGAAAAGGUAUCCUAUCCCCUAGGUGGCAGAGCAGCCUAUUCUAUACUCUCUACCAGCUGAUGAAAGAAGAUCCUAGUCUUGAACAUCAUACUCUUUUCUUUGAGAGCAGAGCUCACUUCACUUUGCCCAUCAGAUCCUUGAGCUAGUAGCUAGUUAGGGCUGAUAUUACAAUCAAGGAAUGAGAGAGUUUCAUAGGUGACUAGUGUAGAGAGAGGUUAUGAAAGAGACCGACUACGCGGUUAAGGCUGUGAGAUGGAUAGCCUUGCCCCGAGAGAGGCCAUAGGAUAGAGUCGAACCGACGAUGCUCUUCCAGCUAAGUUGUCUGGCCUGAGUCCGUUCACUGAGCUCUGAGCUUUGCUCCUGGUCGUCAAUAUUCUUUGUGUGCUGUCUACUCUUUUUUGGAAGAAAGUUUCAGCCUACUAAGAAUCAAGAAAGCGCAACUUCGAUUUUGAUGCCAACAACAUGAAACUUAAGGAUGAAAUGAAGAAAUGCAAAAAUAUCCAUCACUCUCCCGCUCUGAAUUUGCAAAGAUGCGGUUUCUGACUCCCCCACGGUGCGGUAGAAAAAUCUUGAAGCCUUGCACUCAUCAACGCAAUAUUCUUUGCGCCUUAUCUUACUUUCAGUCGAGCCGUCCUACGCAGCUUAAUAUGUGAGCGGGAGUGGGAACCUACUAUUUGGAAGAAGCCUAGGGGAUCAAAAUCAAGAGAGAAAGCCUAGAGGCGCGAAGCUACUUACAAGGCUAGGCGUAAUUGAGGAGACUGAGUUUACGAACGAGAUAAGGGUCAAAGAAUUUGAGAGGCGAGAGCAGCUCUUUCUUCUUUCUGUUUAAGCUGGAGACUUUCUUAUGUUCCCACGGAGCGGGUAGGGAAUUGCUCUUAGCCCAGGCCGUCGGCCUUCUUUCUGAAUUGACUGGUCCAUACAUUAAGAUACUCCUUUGCGAAAGGAAAGCUACUCUAACUAAAGAGAAGGAAUGAGACUAGCCGCACUAUAUCACUAUUCAGACGAGAGAAGAGGAGAAGAAAGGGCUAUGCCUUUCUCAUCCAUGAAUUAAUCACCGAAACCCCUUGCACUCCUCUUCCUUAUAAUCGCUAGGUCAAUAUUCUUUGAACCUUGUAAAGGAAGGAAGGAGGGUCAAGGUUAUCAGCGAGAAAGAAAUUCAGGGAGCAUCACGCCGAACUCCGUUUUCUUUCAUCUCUUGGCGCGAACGAGAUCAGAAUCGGCAGCUCGCCCAUAAGUCCAGUCCGCUGACAGGUCAAAAUAAUCGUAAGCCCCCCUGAAUUAGUUCUUUCCGCGGUUGCUCUUGUUUCGGCAGUCGCUGUGGAAAAAGAAGUGGCUGUCGCAGUAGUCGUUCCCGUUGAUCGGGCAGAUCGCUAGAGCGUAAGGCCUCAUUCAAGGAUGAAUUAUGUACUAAAACAUGUCCACGUUUUUGACUCUUCUUCUUUCACCUUCAAACUUGAAUAAAGACUUCAAACUUCCCGGAUGAUUUCCCUGGAAGGAUUUCUUCGAUUCGUCUGUAAAGUGAAAGUAGUGAGGAAACCGCUCAGAGGCACUCGCUCGACCGAAGGAAGACAAGGCAGAAAGUCCCCACCAGCAGCAUUGGAUCUCGAAGGAUCACAGGUAAAGGAUCGACGAGACUCAAAUUCUUUUCCUUGUCAAUAUUCAAAUAGUGGUCCUUUUUCUUUAUCAAGCUUAAUCUGUGGAAUAUUAGUGGAUAAACAAGGGUUCAAAAAAUCAAGGUCCAGAUGACAGGCUCAAUGAAAUUUGAGUUUCUGACUCCUUCUCAAAUUCUUUGAUCCUCAGUCCUAUCCAUAUUAACCCGGGAUUUCUCAAUCUUCUGAUCGCCAUUCUCUUCUUUCUUCUUUGCACCUCUCCUUUGAAUGCGCUUCGCUUCUCAAGAAUAUCCCUUAUGGCACCUGUGAAAAGUCAAGAAAAGAAAAGAAUAAUUCACUCAUUAACGAGAAUGAAAGAAUAAUUAGGAUUGAAUCACCUUGUUUUUACGGAGGGAAAUGCUAGGUUUUGCCCAUAGGGAAGUAGCAAGAAAUCAUGAAAAAUCAGUCAUUUUUCGACAAUUUUCGUUAAAUAGAAAUCUUUGAUUUAGUCCUAUUUAGAAGCAAAAAAGCCGGGAAAUAGCAAGGCAUUGUCCUAUUUGAUUUUCGAAAUUCACAUUGAUCAGUUCUAGUUUGAGUUUAUGGUCCGGAGAAAGAGAGGUCUAUUCUUUAUUUCCCUCCGUAAAAACAAGGCUCAAAGAAUGAUCGGAUUCUUUCAUUCCCAUUUUGAGCUUCUUUAAUUCGAGUUAAUGAGCUUCUUUUCUUUUCGUCAAUAUUAUAUUCAUUGAUUUGGAGAUUGAAGACGGAGUUCAUUCCUAGAAAAUGCUAGGGCGAGACAGGUCCUCCGGACUAUCCAUAUUAACCUGUGACGCCUUCGGACCUGUCUCGCAAUAUCCUUUGCGCCUGGACGUUUUUGGGACUUGUUUAUAUCCAUAUUAGCUUGGAGCCUCCUACGCAGCAAUGAGAAAUUUGACGGAUGAAAGCCUAUGUUGAGGACUCGGAAUGAGUUCCAGAAAGAGGGUCUAAAAGGAGAGGUUCAAAGAAUAUUGACUUGGACAGGAGCUAAGUUCUUCGGACCACAGGCUCAAAGAAUUAUCGAAGGAAUCUGGACCCUUGUUGCGGAAAUUAAGCUGCUCCUCCUCCUCAACGUUCUAAUGGAUAGGACUGAGGCGCAUCAAAAAAAAGGUUGAAGAUGACCUUGAUUUUUUCCUAACUUAUUUCUUAUAAAGAGAAGGCGAGUUAUUUCAUCCCUCUCUUCUCUCCCUGCCCCCUAGAACCGAUCCUAUCUAUCAUUUAAAGCCCUUUUCGACCUUUGCUUUCAUUCGAAUCACAUUCAGGUAUUUGACUCUGAUCCGGAAUCCCCCAAUCAAGAAGGAAGAUGGGACAUGUAAAGGAUAAAGAGUUUCAAGCAAGGCGCCGACGAAUGAAUAAUGAAUAAGGAAGAGCGAUCCGACGAAGCUACUUCUGCAACAAGGAACUACUACAACUGCCACAGCCCCUUACCGCCCGCUACGUGGGCUUAGAGCUAUUUCUUCCUCAACUUCAUUCCCCCAAGCAAUAGGCCUCUUCCGGGUGGCUUUCUUAUCCUAGGAAAGUGAUUUGACUGAUUCUCAUUUGAUUUGAGGGGAAAAUGCAAUCUUUACAAGUGCGUAUGAACUUCCAGUCUCGCAGCUUGGUCGAAAAGCUUGGGCUAGCGGCUGAUUCAACUGCUAAAGCUACAGCUUCAAGAUCGAAUUCCCUGAAAAAUCUCUCUCUCAUCCCUUUCCGCGCACUAAGAAGGUUCGUAAACUCUUUUUUGAAGACUCUCCUUUCUUUUUGCUUCGCACCUUCUAAGUCAGAUCAAUUCCAUCUCACCGCUACGUGGGCCUCUCGUGAAAGAUCCUAUUCUCUGGUCGUAUUCGCACCUUUCUCAGGGGAUCAUACCCUUUUUAGAGAAAGAGAGAAUGUUUCUGUCUGCUGAAACUAGGGUUAGCUGUGUCUAACCUUCCCCUUAAGAAGAGAUAUGAUAAGACCUCGUUCACUCAGCUUCAACACUCAAAAUCCGAACCCUAGAAAAGAAAGCCGCAUCCCCUUUGUGCUGUCCCACUCCUCUCCAGCUUCCUCUUACUAAAUCAAAGUCAAGCCCCUUCGCUCCUAUCCUAUGAUUCUGAGUUCAGUUGCUCUGAUGAAGGAUCGUCUUCCUAUUUCUAAUCCGGAACAGAAAGAGCUUCAACGGCGGCCAAGAAUCAGCUCAUUUUGGACUCUUCAGAUCCCUAUCUAUCCGGAGAGGAGCUUCGCUCAACACCCUUCUUUUGUUUUGCUUCUUAGUGAUAGCUUCUACCCUCGGAGAUGGAGCUCCUUCUUGUUCUCGAUCUGAUUCCUAUCGCUACUUCAUACCUAACUGGCACCUAUGAAACUGGGACGGAUUCCUUUGCUCUCGUUCGCUGACUCUGACUUUGGUCGAGCUAUCACUACUGCUGGCGUCAAUAUUCUUUGAACCUCUUCCUUCGGAAAAGGUCAAUAUUCUUUGAACCUCUCUAUCUCCUUAAAUAUUGAACUUAAGAACCUCAAAAGAAAGCGGAAAUCUUCUCCUCGCAAUAUUCUUUGCGCCUAGCCUUCGAUCUGACGCUUUUGCUAGUCCCUGGUCGAGUCUUUCCUCUUUCUUCAACAUAGGAGUGCAGUCUGAUUUCUGAUUCUUUAGGUAGCAAUUCUUCUUUCUUAUUCUGAAAGGCCCGGAGGUUGAAAAAAGCUCUUUCUUUGUUCUUAUCCUCUUAGAAUAUAUUAUUCAAUUCAAUUGGUCUUACAAGGAGCAGAAGUUUUUGUCAAUUCGUACGUAGAAAUUUCAUGUGUGAAGCUCUAGGUCGAUCCGGAGCUACGAAAGCUUUCUUCUCCCAGUUCUUUCUAGGUCAAGAAAAAUGAAUGGGAGGCGAAGGGGAGAGCUUCCGAGUUCAGUCCCACAGGUAUCGGCUUCCUAUUUUAGUUCUUGUUAUGAAAAGUAGAAAGCCUUCGAUCCUAAGUUAUUGCUUUUUUCGACAUGGUCGAGACCCCGAGAAAGUCUCGAAGCCUAUCAUAGCACCGAUCCAACUCCUCGCAAUAUUCUUUGCGCCUUCCUUAAGUCUGAAUCAAUCAAUAAUCAAUGAAUGAGGCUUUCCCGUAAAGCACUCAGUGCUCAUACGACCAAGAAAAGAUAAGAAAGAGGGAGAGAGGCUCCAUAAGACAGGGAUAUUGUAAGCCGAUCUUGCUGUUUUGACCUGAAUUACGGAGUGAAAUCAGCCGAUCUUGCACAAGACAGAAGAAGAGCUUCUUCCCCGACAAAAACGAGUACCGGGAAGAGGGUCAAAGAAUUUGAGGAAGAGCUUUUUCCUUUGGACUAGAUUGCGAGAACGUUCUAUAACCACUAACCACUGAAAGGUGGCUUCUUCGCAAAUUCUUUGCACCUAGGUUCUCACGCAUAUUUCAUUGCGCCUCAUACUGACUUCCACACUUACCUCUUUCUUUCCCUUCCUCAAACCUAAAACACAAAGUAUACCUUUCUUCUUCGCAAUAUUCUUUGCGCCUGACUUACCUCUUCUUUCCUGACUUACCUGUACUGUAGGGCUUCGCCCCCUUAUACUUCCUGUACUUCCUUAUCUUUUUCUUCCUGACUUACCUGUACUUUAGGGGCCCCUUUAAACUUGUUCUUUCUUUCCUGUUGUUGCUCUUGGGCUUCGCCUUCAUACUUUUGGUUACGGUGGCUUCUUCGCAAAUUCUUUGCACCCUCCGUUAGGAGUAUUAAGACGGACCCUUCCUUCCAUAUGGAUGGUCCUACUUCGGUUAAUUACGGAUGGUCCUACGGAUAAAUCCUCCGGACUACUUCCUUCCAUAUGGAUGGUCCUACGGAUAAAUCACCUGGACCUUUCUUUGGCCCUGCGGACGUAGGACGUAGGACUACUUCGGUUAAUUACGGAUGGUCCUACGGAUAAAUCACCUGGACCUUUCUUUGGCCCUGCGGACUGCGGACUCCGGACCCUGGACCUUUCUUUGGCACGUAGGACAGGUGAAUACUAUUAUUUUCACGGAGGCUCAAAGAAUGAUCGAGGGAUAGCUCUGAUUUUCACGGAGGGAGGCGAGACUGAAUCAAUGAACAAAGGUGAUACUUAUCUCUUUCUUUUGUCUCAAGCUUUUAUACCAUUGACGUGAAGGAUUUGCCUUCAUGAAAACGAAGAAGAAAAGGAGCGGAUCGCGCACGCCCACUCCGCGGUAAAGGCCUAAUGUCAGAGGGAGGCGCAAACUAAGCCGCUGCUCGAGCCACAGGAGAGUAAUACGGGGAUCGACUUCCACCUAGUUGGAGGGAGGAGCCAUAGCUCUUGCUUUUUCAGCAGUCCUUCCUGUGUAGGAUGAAAGAUCCCUUGUUCGGUAAGCGCGUCAUCGACCAGCUUAUAGCGAGCCUAAUCACCCCAUUGUAGGGUAGAAAGAAGGGCGAUUUAUCUCAAUCCAAGUGAAAAGAGAAGCAAGGCCGACGGCCAACGAACUCCUACUAUCUAUUCCACACUACCAGCAAGGUGAAAAGAAGAUUGAAUCCGUCUUCCGCUCCGUUGACCCUAGCGAUCAUGAGAAUUCCCAGGUUUUCAUCCAUUCACAAAAAGACCCAAUCCCAGUCGUGGAAGAGAAGUCAGAAAUGGGACAGAUCUUUUGGCACUCUCCGAGGAGUUAGGCUUAAUUCAAAGGAUGAACCAUAUCUUUCUACGCAAACUAAUAGUUCUAUAUCGGAAACAAGGUCUGAUGACAUGGAAGAUCGUCGCUUUAGCCCGGCUUAGGUCGCAUUCCUAUCUGACUUAGUUGCUCUCAUACCAUAGACUCGGAAAGAGAUAAUGACUCUGGGGUAGAUGAAAUUUCUUCGUGCCGGGUUUAUGUAAGAAAUCGCCUAGUGCUUGAAUUGCACUGACUGUAUUUUCAUCUAUAUUGCAAAUAGAAGAAAGAGCACUUAAUAGGGAAUACGAAGAAAGAACUGAGCCGGGACUGAUUACGAUCGGUCUCAAACCUCUAUCUUGUAUUAUCCCUUUCAGAGACUUCAGUGAGGGAAGACCUCUCACUCCCCCAACCCUGGCUGACGAACCUAUCCAGAUCCAUUGGGAAGAAGAUCCCAUGACGGAGGUGACUUCUAGCUUCGUACCGAAGCCAAUUCCUUACCGCUCCGUGGGUUCAGAUGAAUGAGACGGUCUUCCUAGCGCCGUCCUAUCUUUGAUCAUACAAUGAAAUACCGCGUAGUGGGACCUGCCUUUUUCUUUUCGAAAUAAAUAAGAAGGAGGCUGGAUUCAAUUUCGAAUGCCCUUACUUUACUAUUCAAAACUAUACUCUACGCGCGAGAUGAUGUAAGACAAGAAGAAGAUCAGAAGAGCUUUCAAUUAUUCUAACGAAGAGCUUUUAGAGAAAGGUGCGUAGCAAGGCUCUCAGAAAUUGAGCAGAAGCGAGACCAUUGUCAAGUUUUCAUAGUCUUUUAUCAAAAUCGAAAGAUAUAAGUAGUAAUUCACAAUAUUCAAUAAGUUAUAAAGCUCUGCGAAUGCGCAAAUAAUCAGAUAUUCACUGGUGCAAUGUCUUAUUCCCGCUCCCUGGGAGGUAUACUCUAGAAGUCUUUAUAUAUUGAUUAUGAACCGCUCCGCUCAUAAUCCGAGAUUCACUUCUCAGAAGUAGUUCACAAUAAAUUCUCAAGCUCUUUCCUAAUUAAUCUUCCCGCUCCGCUCAUAAUCCGAUAUUCAGACGAAUCUCAUAAUAGUGGUUGAUCUUUGUUUAUUUGCUUUAUCAAGCUCUUAUUCUUCUCUGCGUCUUUCUGAAACUUUCUUCUGCAGAUAUGAAAAAUCAAGCUCCAGAUGAGUUUCAUUCUAGCUAGAACUCGUUCUCUCCGCGAAUAAUCAUCUAUUCACAAGAAAUAAAUAGUAAUCUCUUCUCUCCUUUGUAAACCUACUAUUUGGAAGAAAGCCUAUCCUUCUACACCGCGUAGUGGGUCGAGCUGCUUCGCACCGCUCCGUGGGCUACUUCUCUCCACUUCUGAAACUGAAAGUCAAUGAACAAGGCUCAAAGAAUGAUCGAGGAGUCUUAAUUGAAUCAUAUUGCUCCAAAAACAAAGGUCCAGAUGAGUCAGAAAGAUUUCCUUAAGUCCUUCGGACGCUUUCCUCUCGUCGAUCGGGCUUUGGUCGUACGUAUGAUAGUAAUUCAUUGAAUGAAUCUAUUUCCCUUGGUUGGGCAGCACUAGAGAUGCAAGGUCAGCACCAACUUCCACUUCUGCAGCAUCAAGGGAGAAAGAAACUGCCCGUGGCUCUCGAAGCUAGGCUUUCAUCCGCCAAAUUUCUCAUUGAUCUGGUGGUCGAAGAGCGAGCUUCAAGGGCAGAGAGAGUAGCUCAAUAAAAGACAAGAAGAAGGAAAAAUAAUGGAUUUCUAGUCCUUCGCCUAAGAAUAAGGUUCAAAGAAUAUUGAACUCAUGAAUAUGGAUCAAAAUCAGUCCCACUAUUUCAAGUGGAAUUAAUGGCGCGACAGGCGCAUAUUGCGAUGAAUCAUCUUUUUUUCUUUCGAGGACUACGAAUUUUGACAGUCCGAAGGUGCAAAGAAUAUUGCGUGAGAUUUUGGAUAGCUCUGACUUUGAAAAGACAAAGAAGGACUUCGGACCAAAAAAUAGGCGAAGCGAAUACUCGUGCAAGUGCUGGAGCGGAAUCCUGUUCAUGGAUUUUGAGUGGAUUCGGAACUAUAAAUGGUCGGCGAAUAUAUAGGAUGAAAGUACAGUGAUGUCCGUCCUUGUUAGCACGUCCGGUCUUCGACACACUAUCGAUUUUCUUGACUUUCUUCCUUUCCUUAGCCUGCUUAGGGCUGCCCCACGUAGCCGUAGCGGUGGGGAUCUAUUACUUUCAAGUCUAGUUGCUCCCUUAUAGAUAAGGGUUGUAAGCAUUCCAGUCUCCCUUGUUCGGAAAGAUGUUCACUCCUCAAAUUCUUUGAGCCUCUUGUUAUACGCGAAGAAAGCUCUUUUCCAGACACUCACUUAACAAGGCAAGGAUGAAUAGUGAUAUGUAGUGAUCCUAAAGCCUGGCUUUGAGCCUUCCUUGCUUUCCAUGAGGGCUGGAAGCGUGGCACCUCACACCUUUGUACACGUAAGAACUACUCAUCUGCACCAUCAAAGAAAGGUCCAGGGUCCGGAGUCCGCAGGAUUUAUCCGGAGUCCGGAGGAUUUAUCCGUAGGACCAUCCGUAAUUAACCGAAGUAGUCCUACGUCCGCAGGAUUCUUAUCCGUAGGACUAUCCAUAUGGAAGUAGGACCAUCCGUAAUUAACCGAAGUAGGACUAUCCAUAUUCAGGAGCGGAAUCAAGAAUAGACCCGUCAGUAUCCGGACCAGAAACCAUAAGAAAACUCUGUUCAUUGAUUUUCCCUAGAUUUUUCUAAUGGACCAGUUGCAAUUUCCCGGCUUUUUUGCUUCUAAAUAGGACUUUUUCGACUUUUCUUAUCUAACGAUAAAAGUACUUUUUUGACUGAUUUUUUGUCUUUUCUUGCUACUUCCCUAUGGGCAAAACCUAGCAUUUCCCUCCGCGGAUUCAUCUGAAAUCUAGCAGAUUCAUCUUCAAUCUAGCACAAAUCAAUGAAUAUUGACAAUGAACAAGGCUCAAAGAAUUUGAGUCUGCUUUCAUUCCCAUUUUGAGCUUCUUUCAUUAUCGUUAAUGAGUUCAUUCUUCUUUUCUUUUCUUUUUUCUUUGAUUGACUUUUCACAGUCCGGAGGACAGGUCCGAAGGCGCAAAGAAUAUUGCGAGGAGUUGACUAUCCAUAUUCAUGAAAAAGGACGGGUGAGGCUCAAAGAAUUUGAGUCUUUAUUCGCCUAUGAAGUAAUUCUUCCACGAAUCAACUCAAUCGAGACGAGGGACAUAGGCUCCCAGUACGAAGGGACUGAAGCGAACCCCACCGGUGCCCGCCCUUGAUCUAUUUUAGAGGCAUAUUCAGUCCUGAAUGAGUAAAUGAGUGAAUCUGGGCACGCACAUCUUGGAACCUUCUCUUUUCAUUAAGAAAGAAAGAAUCCCAGGUUCAAAGAAUCCAGGGCUAAGAGGACUAGGGUGCGAACCCCAUCCACCGAUUCCUUCUUUCAUAAGUCAGAGUCUGAAAGCAUAAGUCGACAUCAAUAUAGGUCCUAAGCUAGCAUAGGACGGACGGGGCGGAGUUGGAAGCUCUCACGGAGGGGCGAAGCGACUGGGAAGGUGGGUUAGCAAGGCUGGAUUCAAUUGAGUGGGUGGAAGCGAGACCUGUCCUCCGACCUCUUUUAUCCACUAAUAUUUGACUCCGGACUUGUUAAUGGAACUAAUAUGUUCGGGAGGACCUCUUUUAUCCGUCCUCUUUAGAGUCCUUCGGACGUCCUCAGUCCUAUUCAACCCAUUCCAUUGAAUUUCUGGAAAUAAGGGUCAAGAUGCGCCAUAAGACAGGUCCGAAGGACUAUCCAUUAGGGGAUUUGAUGACGAACGUUAGGAUCAAUGAAAUGAAUUUGAUGAGAAAGAAUAUUGCGAGAAGUCAUGAUCCCUUUCAUGCAGCUGCUUAAAAAAGAGCUUUUUGCGAAGUCAUGAUCCCAAAGCAAAGGCCUUAAAUAGGGCAAUAUUCUUUGCGCCUUGCACUCCUUUCUUCUUUUCUUAGAUAAAUGCGCUUCGCUUCUUCUCAAAUUCUUUGAGCCUUAGUUAAGCGCAAAGAAUAUUGCGUCAUGAUCCCUUUCAUGCAGCUGCUUAAAAAAGAGCUUUUCAUUUGCGAAAAAGUAUUAUGGAAAUAAUAUCCGGACUGAUUUUUUAUGGAACUGAUUUUCAAAGAUUCCACUAAAACUGAACCGCAAUAUUCUUUGCACCUAGGCUUUCUCCCAACAAAUCUUCGUUCUUAGUUAUUUGAACCUUCAAUCUUUUCAAAAAGCUUAUUGAUUGAUUCAGGGCUUAGCCCUCCUUCUUAGAACCCAUUGAGGGGAGGCCCGGGAAGGGGAGAGUGGCCGAGCGGUCAAAAGCGACAGACUGUAAAUCUGUUGAAGUUUUUCUACGUAGGUUCGAAUCCUGCCUCUCCCACGGAGCUUCUUUGUUGUAGACUGAAGAGAAGAGAAAGGAAAGGAGGCAUUCGUCGUCAGCGUAGGAAGAAGGCCGACCGAGCCAAUAUGUGCUUUCUUUUUUUUUGCCGUGCCGUGAAGUUCAAUUGUAUCGUAUUUCAGUUUAGAGAGGUUGCCGAAUUACUACGAUCUAUAGAUUCCCAUCGAUAGACAAUCCCAACCAGAAUAGAAGCGAGUCGCUUCCGCUUUGGCUUGUAGUCCUUGUCUUUUAGCUUAUGUAGUGGUCGGCCUUCCGACACGCGCGCGCCCGCCAGAAUGCCCCCUUGCUUCUGCACGAAGCCCAAGCCAAUACAUAGGAUAGGCGAAGGAAAGACCCCCCAUUUCAUAGCGCCUGGGGAAGGCAAGUUUUCUCGAGGAUUGGAGGCGCGACAGGCUCAAUUCAGAAAUGGAUAGUCCGGAGGUUCAAAGAAUAUUGACUAGACUUCCAGUCCGGAGGCGCAAUUCAAUAUGCGAAUGAGUGCAAGCGAAAACUAAUAGAUUUCAUAGUCAAGAGGACGGAUACCGCACCUCGCAAUAUUUUCAGUGGAAUAAGACUGAUCUGGAGCCUUUGUUUUUGACUCCUUGCUAUUUAAUGGAUAAACAAGUCCUCCGGACGGGUCCAGCAAAAACAAAGCGGAAAACGCAAGUCAAAUUCUCUAAUGGAUAGGCCUUGCACUCCUUAAUAGAAAGCCGAGCAUUUGCACGCAAUAUUCUUUGCACCUUGUUUUUGUUCUUCGGGCCUUCGUAGCUUAACUUAAUAUGGGGAUCUGAUCUUUGCUCCUAACUACGGGGUCCGACCGCCCCGUGGGAAUAAGAUGAAAGUAGCGGAGUAGUUUGAAAGAAAGGAUAUAAGUUUCAGUGGAAUAAAGGGAGAUAGGCUUGAAUCUUUUUAGUAGGAAAAUCAAGGUCCAGGUGACGGAAGAAAAAGUCAAAAGUCUAUCCCUGUCAUUGAACAGAUUCAUUGAGGACUUUCAUCUUCUAUAUUAUGAGGCUUACUAGUAAUGCUGAAGUUCCUCCUACGGGAAUCAAAAGUGAAAGGAAGGAAUAAGGACUCAAAUUCUUUGAGCCUCCGGAGCCUUCAUCAUUUCAUUUUGAUGCCUUCUACGGCGUUCAAGUCAAAGAGUAUUCAAGAUCAGAGUUUCAGAGCUUUAUCAAAACUUAUCUUUAUCUUGUCUUUGAAGAAAGCAAUAAAAAAAGUUAAGACGAGCUAUAUACUCCGAAGGACGUCGUCUGGACCCAGCCGUAGGCUUCUUAAAAUAGUGAGGAGUCCGGAGUCCGCAGGAUUUAUCCUACGUCCUACGUCCGGAGUCCGCAGGAUUUAUCCGGAGGACUAUCCAUAUGGAAGUAGUCCGGAGGAUUUAUCCGUAGGACCAUCCGUAAUUAACCGAAGUAGGACCAUCCAUAUGGAGGGAAGUAGUCCGGAGUCCGCAGGAUUCUUAUCCGUAGGACUAUCCAUAUGGAAGUAGGACCAUCCGUAAUUAACCGAAGGAGGACUUUCCGUAAUUAACCGAACUUUGCGCCUGGACUGGACUAGAAAUCCAUUAUUUUUCACUUUUAUCCGGCUGCUCCUACGGAGGCGCCAUAACCAUAAGACAGGGAUAUUGUUGGAGCUUUAUUUUGCAUUUCAGAUUUCUUGAGUUGCGCUCCUUAACAGAAUAAGGAAUGAGCUUCUCCCCUCUCCUUACAGUCGAGUUAUUUCAUAACCUUCGCCUCGCAAAUUCUUUGCACCUUGCGCUCCUCUCUAGUCUCGCGCUCUUUGCUUCGCACAUCUGCGUCCUUCUUUUUGUUCUUCGCGCCUCCGGACCAUUAAUCAGUCCUUCGCCUCAUUCUUAAGUCAGAAAAUUCAGGCUCAAGAUGAGAUUCUUUCUUUUCUGGCGGCUUAAUAAGCGAGUCAUGAUCCCUUUAAAGCAGACGUUAGGAGCAAUUCAAUAUAUCCUAGGCUUGAUUCAUGAAAGCUAUAAAACCCUAAAAUAGCAAGGAGUCUUAUGGAACUUAAAGGACUGAGGUUCAAUAGGGUAGAGUCUCAUCACCCCAUUAAUAAAGUUUGGAGUCUUAUGGAACUUGAAUAAGGAGCGGAGCAAAAACAAAGGUCCAGGUGACUAUUCAAUCUAUUUAUUGAGAAGAGGACGGCUCGGGAUGGAUUUAGGAGUCUUUGUGCGAGCCGUAUGCGGUGAGAGUCGCACGUACGGUAACGAGGGGGGUUCGCGUCUAUACGUGUAGUGUGGUGGUUGGGCCUACCCACCCUAUUUGUUCCAUGAUCUAUGGGUCUACUGGAGCUACCCACUUCGAUCAAUUAGCCAAGAUUUUGACCGGAUACGAAAUCACUGGUGCUCGAUCUAGUGGUAUUUUUAUGGGGAUUCUAUCUAUCGCUGUAGGAUUCCUAUUCAAGAUCACUGCAGUUCCUUUUCGGGCGGCUGUAGGACGGACGGCCGCCUAUAGGUGGUAGGGUAGGGUGGGUGGUACCGCUCAGAUUGUGGCCAAUCUUCCUAACCGCGCGCGGGCCGGGCUUAGAGCGCGUGAAACUCAUCACUACCUCGUAAGGGCGUUGAGACCAUAGCAUGUUACACGAAAGCGCCGCUUUCUCUGUAGUGUUGUCACACAGCAGCCCGCCUAGAAGAGCCACUCGCUCUGUAGUGUUGUCACAUAAGAUAAGCACGCCGCCCGCCUGCUGGCCGGGCGAAUCGAAGUUCUCUUCCGGUCAACUGUCCACCCAGUCAAGUGCAAAAAACACAGUAGAAUCACGCAAGGCACGCAGCUGGUGUGCUUCCUGCCCGCGAGGAAAGAAAGAAGAGCGACAGGGUUGAGUUCAGAUUUGACUGUUUGCAGCAUGGGAGCGGAUUACCCAAAAAAUCCCUGGGAACAAUGAAAAAAAAGAUAUCUCGGUAACGAAAACUAUGGGGGGCUGUAUUGGCGAGAUCCAACGGUGAACAGCUGCCCAAAAGAAAAACCGCCUGGAAGUCCGAGGACCUUUAGUACCGUACCCUACCCCCAAACCAGCAGCCUUCGCGCCAAGCAAGACCGCCCUUGUCCCUUUCCUUUCUCCAUUCCGCCUCCUUCUUUCUUAGCUUUGUUCCAAUCGAGUCUAAGGCAAAGAGUGGAAAGUAUACCUAUUUUUUGACCUACUUGACGAUAGAAUAUGCGAGAGCAAGAACAAGACUAAGAAGUCUCGGUGCGAAGAAAGUUCAACAAUUAAGGAAGAAGACUAGUCGGAAAGAUCAAGCCUAGGUAAAGAAUCUAUCAACUCUUAAUCACGAUACGGAGCGGUGCGAAGCAGCGAGAAAGAGGAUUUAGAAAAGAGCUUGAUUAUCUUAUUAUUAGUUCUUAUAAGAAAAGAAGAAGAUUUGAAAGAAAGGAAGAGAGAGUCCGUCUCUCAAUUCACUUUGCUCCGUCGGCUGAAUUCAUUGAGAGAAAGAAUUUGAGAAGGAGUAUAGUUUGAAAGAAAGGAUAUAAGAGGAAAGCCAUAAAAAAAGUUAAGACUCGACUAUAAAUAACUUUGCUCCUACUAUAUAGCUCCGGACGAGUCAGGCGCAAAGAAUAUUGCGAGGCUCAAUUCCGUUAAUAUGGAUAAGUCCUUCGGACCUGUGAAAUCCAAAAAAUAGGCAUAUUGACAAAGACGCAAUAUUCUUUGGGCCUUCGUAGCUUAAUAAUGGCCCACUCCGUUUUAGAGUCCUUCUUCUUCUUUCUGGGAGUCCGGAGGACCGGUCUCGCAAUAUUCUUUGCGCCUAACGUUAGAGUCCUACUUCGGUUAAUUACGGAUAGUCCUACUUCCUUCCAUAUGGAUGGUCCUACGGAUAAAUCCUCCGGACUACUUCCCUCCAUAUGGAUGGUCCUACGGAUAAAUCACCUGGACCUUUCUUUGGCCCUGCGGACGUAGGACCCUGGACCUUUCUUUGGCACGUAGGAGGGUGAAAAGAAUAUUUCACUCAUUCACGCACUUUGCGCCUUCGCUCCAAAUAAAGUAAUAGCUAUUCUCAGAAGGCUGAAUGAAUUGAGAGGAUCAAUGAAAUUUGAUGAUGAUGAGUUGCGUGAGAAA
RNAcentral lists this long non-coding RNA (76977 nucleotides) under Cucumis sativus (cucumber). The record is from RNAcentral. Lineage: Eukaryota; Viridiplantae; Streptophyta; Magnoliopsida; Cucurbitales; Cucurbitaceae.